This 49675-nucleotide long non-coding RNA is filed under the name Lotus japonicus. RNAcentral's name for it is "long non-coding RNA (LJAP_LNC001109)". The record is from RNAcentral. Lineage: Eukaryota; Viridiplantae; Streptophyta; Magnoliopsida; Fabales; Fabaceae.
CUGAAUAUUCCAACAAAAUAAACAUAAAAAGAAACAAAUAUGAUCAGUGUCCAAUAUUUUCAUCUCACUCCAAACAUAAAAAACAAAUUUCAUAGUUACCUCAUCCGGAUGAAAUACUCUGGCAAAAACCUGUUGCUUAGACUUAGAACUUCUUAAGGUGUACUGAUGCAUAGUAACUACACAAAAAAACCGAUGACAACCUCUAAAUGUAAGAUAGAAAAAUGGAAUAAGGGUCAAAUAUUAACUAUAACAUAAGAGAUAAAUCCAAUUUCAAAACUCAAAUAGAUCAAGUGGGAAAUAUUGAAGAAUCAUAGCCCAAAUACGAUAUCAAGUCCUAAGUCCAAACAUUAUAUGAGAAAAUCUCCAUAUCAAGCAUUAGGUGAGUACAAUUAAUGAAGCUACAACUAAAUCACUAAUAGGUAGAACAACAAAUUAUUCACUUUGGUUAAUGGACACGGCAACAUGUCCAAUUGGUCUGAAUCUCUCCAGUGAACUGUAAAGUGAUAAUUUAUGCACAUUUUUUUGAGAAUGAAUGGGUUGUAGAAUCUUUUUUAGUUGAAAGGUUUCAUAUGUAGACUAAUAGAUAUGAUCACUAUACUGUAUUAGAGUUGGUGAGGUAUUAGGUAUCUAAUUUUUAAAUUAGAGGAAGAGAAGAAUGGAGUUAGUAGCUUUAUUAUAAAAGUGGAAAGAGCUAUCUGAACAGUAAACAUCGAAGAAUUAGCAGCUGAAGGAACUAAUUAGUGUAGUUGGGAAAAUUAUCCCUUGGAAUUUCCCAACCAUCAUGUUCUUUUCUAAGGUCAGCCCUCCCUUGGCUGUUGGCUGCACCAUGGUCCUCAAGCCUGCUGAAAAAACAACACUAUCAUCACACUUUUCCCUAUCAACAAUGCUAGCAUCUAUCCUUAUACAUCACCUAUUUGACCCAAUAUUAGUAAUCAUUAAACAUGUGCAAUUGUGCAUACCAGAAAAAAGUAGCAGAUAUCACGUCAAUAAACACUUAUCUGUGUUAACAACAUGAAACGACAGCUUGCACCCUCAAUCGAUAUCAUGGAGUGACAAAACUUCAGGGACUUUUGAAAGAUUUAGGUGUUGAUGGAACCAGAACCUGUAGAUAACAUCACACCUUUUUAGCUUGAAACAUGGAAUAGAAAACAUGAGCUGUUAUUACCAAAACCCUUCAAACAAAUUAUAUGACCUUAAUAAUAACCCCACUUUAGCAUCAAUAACAAUCCUAGAAAAAAAAAUUCCCUGAGCUGUAAAAAAACUGUCUAACCUCUCCCAAAAACUCUAGAAAAAGCAUUGUUUGAAUAAAGUAAGUGUUCUAGUAAAAACACAGAUGGCAAUUUAACAUAAAUUUUUGGAAUAGGAUAAUCCACAUAAGGUAUUAAGAAUAUACAGAUCAAACAGAAAGCAUCCACUGAUAAGCUUGACUGUAUAAACUGAAAAAAACUAAAGGACUCACCUAUAGGUAGCAUAUUAAAUGAGAGCAUAAGAGUUUCAAAUAGCAGCCAUGUUACAGGGACACCAACACAUAUUAGUUCCAACCACAAUGAGUUAAUAAUCCUCUUAUAGCAUGGUGUGAAAGUAUUAGUAUUGUAAGAGAGUUUCUCUUUGAAACUUCCACAAUUUGGGCUAAAUGUGAAAAUGUCUGGCCAAUAAGAAAUCUUACCUCACUCUAAAAAUCAAAAUAAUAAAGAAAGAAUUACAGCCACAAUAUGCGAAAAAAGUUUUAAGAAUUUUUGAUAAAUCUUACUUAAAUCAUAGAUCACAUACCUCUUCUUGUUUUGCUUCAUGUAGGUUCUACUUCCGCCUCCCCAACUCGUUUUACCCAAUCCCUUUAGUCUCACUCUCUUGUCUUGGAUACAUUGAAGGGGACAAUCCAUUCAGAACAAUCAAUAACAUCCUACAAUAACAGGGUGCGUCUUAAAUGGUAGCCUAAUCUCAACCCAAUGCCCGAGUUAANNNNNNNNNNNNNNNNNNNNNNNNNNNNNNNNNNNNNNNNNNNNNNNNNNNNNNNNNNNNNNNNNNNNNNNNNNNNNNNNNNNNNNNNNNNNNNNNNNNNNNNNNNNNNNNNNNNNNNNNNNNNNNNNNNNNNNNNNNNNNNNNNNNNNNNNNNNNNNNNNNNNNNNNNNNNNNNNNNNNNNNNNNNNNNNNNNNNNNNNNNNNNNNNNNNNNNNNNNNNNNNNNNNNNNNNNNNNNNNNNNNNNNNNNNNNNNNNNNNNNNNNNNNNNNNNNNNNNNNNNNNNNNNNNNNNNNNNNNNNNNNNNNNNNNNNNNNNNNNNNNNNNNNNNNNNNNNNNNNNNNNNNNNNNNNNNNNNNNNNNNNNNNNNNNNNNNNNNNNNNNNNNNNNNNNNNNNNNNNNNNNNNNNNNNNNNNNNNNNNNNNNNNNNNNNNNNNNNNNNNNNNNNNNNNNNNNNNNNNNNNNNNNNNNNNNNNNNNNNNNNNNNNNNNNNNNNNNNNNNNNNNNNNNNNNNNNNNNNNNNNNNNNNNNNNNNNNNNNNNNNNNNNNNNNNNNNNNNNNNNNNNNNNNNNNNNNNNNNNNNNNNNNNNNNNNNNNNNNNNNNNNNNNNNNNNNNNNNNNNNNNNNNNNNNNNNNNNNNNNNNNNNNNNNNNNNNNNNNNNNNNNNNNNNNNNNNNNNNNNNNNNNNNNNNNNNNNNNNNNNNNNNNNNNNNNNNNNNNNNNNNNNNNNNNNNNNNNNNNNNNNNNNNNNNNNNNNNNNNNNNNNNNNNNNNNNNNNNNNNNNNNNNNNNNNNNNNNNNNNNNNNNNNNNNNNNNNNNNNNNNNNNNNNNNNNNNNNNNNNNNNNNNNNNNNNNNNNNNNNNNNNNNNNNNNNNNNNNNNNNNNNNNNNNNNNNNNNNNNNNNNNNNNNNNNNNNNNNNNNNNNNNNNNNNNNNNNNNNNNNNNNNNNNNNNNNNNNNNNNNNNNNNNNNNNNNNNNNNNNNNNNNNNNNNNNNNNNNNNNUUCCCCCCUUUAACCCUAAUCCCUAACACUUGAAUUGUAAUCAAAAUCAAACCUAAGAUAGAAAGGGGGAGAGGAAGAACACGAGUGAGAGGGAAGAACACGAGUGAGAGAGAAGAACACGAUUGAGAGAUUUCCAGAACCUACCAUGAACCAACCUUCCUGGAUUUUUCUGUGAAUUGGAUUUGUACAGAAUCACUUGUUUGCCACAACCACAACUUCUCUCUUGCAAAGGGGUGCAGGAAUUGGACGAACGAGCACUGAUUCGUGUGUUCUGGGUCGAGUCGCGCAUCUGGGUGUUGUUCCUCGCCAUAGCGCACUUCUGGAUCUGGUUCUGAGACUGCAUCUUGUGCUUCAACCUCGCGUGCUUCCACUUCGUUAACCACCGCUACCGCCGUCGCCUUUCCCCGUUCAACCUCGCGUGCUUCCUCUUCGUUCACCUCUGGUUCUCCAACUCCUUCCCCUUCUUCGACAUUCUCUCUUAUUUUAUCUUAGGUUUAGUUUGAUUUUGAUUUGGGAUUAGGGUUAAAGGGGGGGAAUUAGGAUUAGUGAUAAAUAUUAGUGUUUUUUAAUUAUAAUAAUUCAUUAACAGAUUUAAAAAAAUUAUAAAUGCAUACGUGUAUAUUGUGAAUGGGAUAGAAAAUUGCCACAUAAGCUUAAAACACACGCAGGGACUUAUUUGGACCAAAAAAAAUUUCAUAGGGACCGGGAAUUGGAAAAAAAAAUUUUAGGGACCUAUUUUAAUGUCGGGAACAAUUUCAGGGGCCUUUGUAUGUAUUAAGCCUUAAAUUUUUAAUAUAAUCAAGGGUGAGGAUGUGGAGUAGCUUUUUAAAGUUACUCUUGGAGUAAAUGGAGACCGUCCUUAUGAGUCAGAUUAUUUACAACAUGAGACCUUCCUUAUGAAAGAUGAGACCGUCCUUAUGAGUCAAAUUAUACUGUCAAAUUAUACUUUUAGAUGAGAGAUAUAAUAUUAAAUAAGAGUAUAAAUUUUGAACAAAAUCACAAUAUGGAAUUUGUAGGAUUGUUCUCUGAAGCUCUGGGCAAUAGAUGGGCAUACGAAGCGGAGGUCAUUGCUAUCUUGAAGGCUCUCCAGUUCAGCAAGCAACACGCACUUAACCACUUGGUGAUUGAAUCUGACUCCACACCUUGCAGUAGGAUGGGCCAACAAUAAAGCACUUAGACCAUGGAAGCUAAGAAGUGAGCUGAAUUUAAUUGAUAUCUUAGUCAGUGAGGUUGAUUGCAUUGGUAUAGUCCACAUUUAUAGAGAGGCAAAUCAUUUAGCUAACCACUUAGCUAAAUCUGGCUGUGAGAGGCUUCCCCCUUAUCUGUGUUUUUUGGUUUGGGAUCCACUUGAAUCAAUUGCUAUGUAGUCUAGUUCCUAUGAUGUUCAUGACUAAGUUUGUAUGCACCCGACUUCGAGAAUAAAAAUAUAUAAAAAUAAAAGACUAUAAAAUAAAAUAAACGAACAUGUUGGUCAAAUAUUUCUUUUGAGACGAGUUUUGCUCUCCCAAACUCGGCCUCUGCUAAGAGUCGAACAAGUUUGAAGAAGACGAGGAUCAAAAUAUAAGAUCGACCCCUUCCUCAUCAGGUUAGGUCGAAUUGGGGGCAUGCUCUCCUUAGAUUUUUUAUUAUUUAAUUUUAUUCACUUACAUAGUUGAAACCAUUUUUUGGUCCUAUUGUGUUGCUCAGUUUGAAUCUUCUUUUGAAGUAGCAUGCCUCAUGUUGCGAACCUUACAUAAAAUUCAUAUUUGUGUAUAAUCACAUGAUUUUCUUAUUUAGGAUAAGAAAAUGUUGGAUAAGAAAAUUUUCAAGCUACUUCUGUAACAUCUAUAUCUAUAUAUAUUAGUAAAGCUCAGUUGAGCUAAGUAUUAAAUAUAAAAUAGUAUUAAACAAGAGCAUUAAACACAUAAGUAAAAUAUAAUUAAAAUGAAAUUAUUGUUUCAGUUACUUACGAUUCAAUGAGUUUCAAUUUUAUUACAUACAGUUUCUCUUUGUGUAAUUUAAAACACAUGGCACCACCACAAAUUUGAAUACUGAUUAAAUAGCCAAGUGAUGAGUAAAUAAAAGAUGAUUAAAGAAGGGACCAAACGUAGCCAACUCAAUGAGUAAAUCAAAAGAUGAUAUAAAGAAUGGAACAUGCGUUUCUUCUAUAGAUUAAGAAAGGAAAUUUACUGCUCAAUGUAACGUGCGUUUCUUCCAUGAGUUAAGAAAGGAAAUUUACUGGUCAAAGUAGUACACAUCUAAUAUCCACUACAAUUGAGAAAAAAAACUAUUUUUUGCACCUUUCGGUUCUGUAACAGCCUAAAUUGUAAUUAGUACACCGUCUCAUCAAUUCUCCAUAAAUCCAUAACCUGUCAUUUCAAAGCAAUAAACCACCUUGCAGAAAUUGAAAAAAUUUGGCAAUGCAAAGAGCCUAUUCAUCUACCUACAUUAAUUUGAAAAAAUGCAAUUACACUAAACCAUGCACUAUUGUAUAUCUCUAUAUAAACAACUCAAUCACACUCAAAUCAUGCAUAUCUUAGACUCCAACAUCCUACAAGAAAAGAAUAGCAACAAUCACAACCUAUUUCAACAAGUAUGUCAUUUUUCAACCUAAUACACAUGAAUGAAGGGGUUUACGCCGUGACGUUGGGGGCUAUGGAUAACAGCUUCUUGGUCAAUGACGCUGGCGUUCGCGUUUACCGGAACUUUGACCGUGGGAUGCAAGACAAGGGCGGCGGGAGCCUCUGGCAGAUGUCGACGCCCAACAAGUCGUUGCUGAUGAGGGCGGAGACCAACAUGAUACUCAUGAGUCCCCUCAGCAGUGGGAAGCUCCAUGCCUCAAGGCUUCACCAGUUGGAUAUUGAGACUGGGAAGACGGCGCGGGAUACACGCAAAGCAGAUCUGUGACAAUGUCGAAGUGGAUGGGGUCGAGGUUGAGGGAGUGGUGGUCAACGAAGGAAUGGAAGGUCAAGACCGAAGAAGAAGCGUGGAGGUUGGGACGAUGGGUUCUACACUUCUAUCACGACGCCAGUGAAGGAUGAGGGAGAAGAACGUGAGGCUUGAGAUUUUUCUAAAAAACAAAUGUGGAGAAUGAAAUUUUUUUAAUGUUACCAUCAAUUAUCAAUUAGGUAUUACUGAAAAUUAGGCCCUUGAUGAUUUGUUAAAUUAAAGGAACAAACUGAAAAAUUUAACAAAUUUUAAAAUUAGAUAAUUUAAAAUAUUAGAAUAUAAUCAAAAGUAAAAAUAUAUUGACUUUUGGGCCGCGUCGAUUUUAUACUACUAUGUAUUUUUUAAAGGGUUAUUAUGUAUUUUACUAAUACUUCAUUUUCUUUAAUGAUUUUUUAAAAAAUAAAACUUCACAACUAUUCCAAAUUUUAAAAUAAUUUAUAAUUAAUUAUACCAAUUUAAAAUAAAUAUUAUUAAAAAAUAAUUAGUUCAUUUUAAUAAUUCAUAGAAGAGUCUAAGAAGACGUUUUCUUGAAAAGACCUAACUUUUAACAUACCCGGAUCAAACAUGAUACUUCAAAGAGAAUACCUGUGGUUGAACCAAAAAAUAUAAUUUAUGAUUUAUAAAUUGUUUUCCCAAAAUGAAAUAUUAAAUUAUUUACUUCUGUUAGUUCUUAUAAAUAUUGAAAAUAAUUUUAACACACAUAAAAACUAUAAUGCAUAAAAUUGUUUUUUUACAAGAAAAUAUUAUUUCUUAAAUAAGAAUAGAGAGUGUUGCGAGCAAACUCCCCCAAAUGAGUAAAACAAAGUAAAAAUUAAAUUCUUACAAAAUUAGUAUGUUCUCUCACCCCUCUUUAUCUAUAUAUUUUACAUUUUUAUUCAUUAACAGCUUUUUAACCUUUAAAAAAAUAAAAAGGAACAACAAAACUUAAAAACAUAUCCGUGCAACGCACGGGUUAAAUUUCUAGUUGAAGAACAUUUCUGACUAAAGUCAUAAUUGCAAGCUUUGGUUGUGGAUAAGCACUUUACUAGUCAUAUGGGUUAGCCAACAUAGCAGCAAGAAAGGUUGUAAGUGAUGUCUUGAGUACAUUUUGGAAUUAAUAUUUUGUUGUGGCAAAGCUUAAAGCUCUCUUAUAAAAAUCUUUUAUGAACUAUGUACAUUGGGGGGGGGGGGGAUACAAAGAGCUCAAAAAUGCAAUCAAGGAAAUAUUUGAUACAAAAAUAUUUGUAUAGGCUUUACACAAAAAUUACUAGAGCAUGAUGAGUUAGACACUUAAAGCACGACAUUCAUACAAUCACUUACUUUUUAAAUCUUUUAUUCUCAUGUGAUGAAAAGUUUUGAGAAAAGAAUAGGGCAAUGUAAUCACUUCUUAAAUUGUGAUAAACCCAUUUAUUAUUGAUUUGACUUAGGACAUACAUUAGAUGCAGGUCUAUUGUGAAGGACCACAAAUUUUUAGUUCCAAUGGUCCUAAAAAAAUGGGUAGGAUAGAUUUGUAACUAACUAGUUAUGAUGUGGUUUUUUGUUUUGUGUUAUGAUCAUACAUCUAACUAUAACUUUUGUAGAUUAAUAGUGGGUAUGCUAAGGGGUAGAUAUCCAAUUUUACAAAAAACUUGUAAUUUACCUUCUGAAACGACCCGUUUUAUAUAAUUAGUCAUUAUAUUAUUAUUAUUAAAAAAAAAGGAAAAAAAAAACAACUAACCUAUCUUUAUAUAUAAACCACGCUGCACCCCACCCCAUUACUUUCCCACUCUCUCGAUCAAUUCCUUUCUUUUCCGUCGGCGCAGACAUAAACCCAAUGACUUGGUAUUCUCUUCUUUUGUUUAUUUUCUUGGCAUCUUCACAACUAAAUACUGCAUCAUAAUCCCACCGCACAGUAUACACAUUCAUGAAGAAAUUCAUGGCAUUCAAGUGGAGGGCUUUUUGGGAUAAUUUUGGGAGUUAGGGUCUUUGCUCUGAGGAAGGAGAAUGGUACCUACUCUUUCAGAAUUGCUUAAUUGGUUUAUUGAGGUAUUUCUACUAGCCAUAAAUUUAGAGAAUAACAUUGUAUUGUAUGUUAGACUAAGGUAAAAUUAUUUGAGGGCUUUGAGUACAUAAUUGGGGAUUUCUUAGUUGCUCACGGGUAGUACGACAUAAGAUAAUUGUUGCUGAAGGUUUGAAGUUGAUUUUUGGUGUUCAGAUCUGCCGGUUAGUGGUUCGUUUGGUUGUCGCGCAGUUGUGGAGAGCAAUAGUGUUGGUUCUUCGUAACUAUGAGUGGUUUUCAACUACUAUGACAUAUUUUUUUACGUUCCUAUGACUGAUUUAAUUACUUUAUCAUAGUGUCUAUUUAUCUAAAUUGGGGAAACAUGUUUUUAUAUGUUGACUAUCAUUCUUGAACUUCUUUGAACGUUGAUUUUGAACAUGUUUUAUGAAUUGAUAUGAGAAGAGAAUGAUAUUGGUUUAAUUUUGAAAUUAUGUGAAAUUGAGAUUAUGAACUUGAAAAGCGUUGAUGAGCAUUGAAAAGUUGAUGUUGAGAAUGUUAUUUUGAAAAGCUUUGAUGAGCAUUGGAAAACUGAUUUUGAGACUGUUGAUGAGACUUGAUAUGGUUUGAGAACUGUUUUGGGGAUCCUUGAUAGAACCCCGUAGCCGUUAGUGGAGGUAACGGCCUAUGUGCACCUAGCUAGUUUGAUUCCGGGAGGAGAGGGCUAUCCGUUAGAUGGAGCCGCCAGUGCACGGAAAGGGCUAUCAACGAGAUGUAGCUUCCCCCGAUGAGAUUGAUGAGAUGUUACAUGAUUCCGGGUGGAGAGGGCUAUCCGUUAGAUGGAGCCACCUCUUGGGUAACAUAAUCCUUAAGAGGAAAGGGCUAUCAACGAGAUGUAGCUUCCCCCGAUGACACGAUGUGACUUGAGAAAGGAAAGGGCUAUCCGCUAGAUGGAGCCGCCCCUAUCGGAGAGGUCAUCCCUUAGGAGGAGAGGGCUAUCAGCGAGAUGGAGCCGCCUCACGAUUCUACAUGUGUGACCCUAUUCCAUUAAAUUUCAGAUUUUAAAUGUCUUCACUUAUUGACAUGAUUUUAACUUAUCUAUUUGACAUGAUUAUUUAUGAUCUUUAUGAGUUUCAGUACUUUUAGCAUUGAAAUGGUUUGAACUAAUAUUGUUGGUGAUAGUGAUUAUCUAAACUGAGUUGAGAGCGAAAAACUCAUGCCUCGAAUGUUUCCCCUUCCUGUUCAUGGUGGUUGUUGAUUGCUCACUAAGUCUUUGUGACUUACCUCAUUCAUUAUUUUCCCUCCACAGAUUUUUAGGCAACUAAGUAGCAGACUGUUGUCAGGUUUAGAUCAUUCGGCUCAUUUCAUUUAUAGGCCUCAUUUGACAGGUGGUCAUAUUUGUGUCUUUGUUGCUCUUUGCUAUUCUGCAGCUAUAGGGGAGUCUUGGGGAAUUCAGUUUGAGUUAUUAUGUAUUGUUUUAAUUUAAGAAUUAGCACUUUAGUGCUGGAUUUGGAAUUCGUGUAUUCUUGGAGUUCUAGAUAUGAUAAACCUCAAUUGAUAUAUUUUAUUAUUUUGGAGAUAUUGAUAUUAAAGGAAAGAUUCUUUUUGUAAAUUAUAGUAAACAUGUAUAAUUUUGGAAAAUAAUUUUAGGAAGAGGGUUUUGGUUAAAUAGGCUUGUCAGGCUAAGAUGAUAGUCUGUGCGCCGGUCACGGCUUAGGAUUUUGGGUCGUGACACCUUCCUUGUCAAACAUCUUCUUUCCCCUAUUAUGAGAGGAAUUUGGUCUUUUCUUGAAUGCAUCAAUAAAAAGGAUGCCCACUAGGGUGGACUCUUUAAAAUAUGGUCCACCGGUGGUCCACUGUUUAAUUACCGUUAGAUCUUAGAAUCUAAGAAUAUUCCUUAAAUGAAUGGCUAGGAUUGAAAGGAUGAUAAAAGGGUAAAAAUGUAAGAUUAUUUCUUUUAUUAAUUAAAAGAUAAACAAAAAACCUCUGAAAAUCAUACUCAUUACAAACCAAUGAAUUUUACAUUUCAAAUGAGAUUCACAAAUCAAUUUAGACUCUAGAGUUUCUCAGUAUCAAUGAUGAUUUCCGGCACAUGAGCACAAUGAAAUUAAGAAAAUUAACAUUCUGAAAGACAAAACCCCAGUAAAUACAAGCAAGUGACUCAACCCCUGACACGCAUCAAGCAAUUCCUUCAAUCUCAAAAUUGAAGAAUAAAAUCAAAAUGUUAAUCUGGCCACCUUUAAUCAAGAAACAUCAAAAUAUUGAUUGAUCUUGCCACUUCCCCAGCUUGAAUCAGUAAAAUAAAAAAAAAUGCUAGAUUGUGGAAUACCCAGUAGAGAAGAUUAUUCAAAGUUUCAAACUUGAAAACUCUAGAUGACAGAUUCAAAUUUAAUAUGCUCAUCAUCAAAACAAGAACAAUCAACUCUAGAUGAUGAGAUCCAGGUUCGUCUUCAUUGCAGAUCUGAGCUUCUCACCGUCUGGGUAGAUCUGAGAAUACCAAGCCAUGGAUCUUCCCAAAAGCCUCAGUAAGAAUCCUCAACUGAAGCCCAGAAAGAUCAACCCUCUCCACAUCCUCACUCUCUGCUUUCCUCAACACUCUAACAACCUCUUCGUUCACCUCCUCAAUCUAAUCAUCCCCUCCUUUCACCGAUUGCGUCGUCACGCACGACCCGUACGCAGCCUCAGCUUCUUGGCACAGUCCUCGUGCAUUUCAUCCAUCCUCAGGAGAGCCUGAAACACGUGAACGUCGGUGUCAGAAAUAUCCGGAGGGAGAAGGUGUAGGUGAUGUUAAGGUCGGUGAAGAGUUGGGUGAGUGAGGGUAGCACUUUGGGGUUCCUGCGUGGAGGUGGAUAGGUUUGGGGAUCUUGCUGGUGCAAGAGGUGGCUGAGGAAGGGAUCUGAUAUGGUGGAGAAUGUUCUAGAUCUGGGUUAGAUCUCUGGAGGGAUGAAUUUUAGGGUUUAACUUUUUUUUACAAUUAUCUAUAGUAAAUUACUUUAACACCCAUGGUCCAUGGGUGGACCAAAAAAUAAAUUGUCCACCCUAGUGGGCAUCAAUAAAAAGAAAAGAAAACGACAUAAACAUCAAAUGUUCUUUCGGAGGCCACGCCAUGCACAACCUAUAACUCUUAAAGUCAUGAACAACACCCAAAUCAUCACCAAUGUGUUAGCUCAAUAACCUCGGACAAGAGGAGAUGGAGGAUGAGACAUGUCACGGGCUCGCCAAGACAUACCCUUAAUCGAAACAAUGUUGGCGUUUCAUUAUCUAAGUCUUCGUAAAAAUUAGCAUUUCCCUUAAAAAAAUUAUUGACCGCUUAGCAUUAAGCUAUAAAGUUUUGACAAAUCUUAAUUUUUUUUUUGUUUUGGGUAGAGACAUACACAAACCUUGAUAGUUGACCCACCAUCAUUCUGAGGCCGGAUCCUGCCGUUCAGUCCAACGAUCAGUGGCGAACCUUGUUGAUGACAGGAGGGAGCUACCUCAAAAAAUUUUAGGAAAAAUUCUAAAAAGGAUUUGGGUAAAAAAUACAUAUUCAGUUAAUACUAUAUAAAAUAAAAUCUGUGUUGUCUUACACAAGACUUGCUACUGGUUCAGUGGCUGAGAACCACGCUUAAGAUGACAAGGGCUGAGGUUUGAAUGUUGCCUUAGUUCUUUUCACAUUUUUUUAUUUUUAACAACUAGUUUCACUUACCUUUUGACCUGGCCUUAGUUAACUUGCACAAGUAUUAAAACUUAUAAAAGAAAGUUAUUUAAAAGUAAAAUAUAUAUCCAUAAACCAAAAAUUGAAAAAAAAAAAGAGUAAAUUUUCAAGAUUAUUAACCUAACUUAUAAUAAAUUUUCAACAUCCAUAUUCUAUGAACUAUUUUUUUAUGAAUAUUUGUGUAUUAAUAAUAAAAAAUAUUAUAGUUUAUAUAUUGAAAUCUUCUUUUAGCUCUCUCAAAUUUUUUCUUCAAGUUCCGCCACUGCCAACGAUCCAAGGGUCCCACUGGAGACCACACUGGCUGCUGAGUCACACGCCACGUCGGAAACGGCCCCACACACCGUUACUCCACCGUGACCCUACAAGGACACGAGUGACGGAGACACCAACGUUUGAAAUUCAAGGUUCUCUCUCGUUUUUUGUUUCAGAAUUUCAAAACUCACACUCACUGUUUCUCUCUCUCUCUCAACUCAACGGGUAGUGCCACUCAACCUUGCAUUGAAGCCAAGCAUUUAAUAUAACCUCCCUCUUCGUUAUUUUGAAUGAAUGCUCAUUCAUCAAACUCACGAGAAUCUUGCUCCUUCCUUUGAUUUCUGGGUCAGAUCAGAUCCGAUCUCUCUCCAUUUCCAUAACCCCAUUGCCCAAAGCUUCACUUUCCCAGGUAAAAGUCUUUUCCUUCUCUAUAAAACAGAGCUUUUCUUCUGUUUUCCUCACAUUGAAUAACCAAAUUAUUAGAUGCAUUAGAAAUAUAAAUAUAAUACUAAUUCUCAGCUAGCCAGCUUAAACUUUUAGAUUAGUCAUUUCAUGAUACGGUAUCAGAGUCUAUAUGAUCAUGUGAUUUUGAGUUCGAUCUUUGGUAGAGGUGUGUAUGCAUUGUCCACGCUUCGAGAGUUCAAGUCAAUGAGCUCUUGUGUUGUGUGGUUUGGGAUGCUGAAUGAAUGUUGUAAGACUUGAAAGAAUUUGAAUUUGAAUUUUUGUUUUUGUUUUGGUGAUCAAUUAUAAGAGUUGUAUUUGAAAAUUGAAGCAUUCAUUCAAUUUUUGGUGUUGCAGAGAGGGACAGGGGUUAUAUUGUUAUCGUAUAAAUCGUUGGAGAAAUAUGCCGCUGGAAAGUUUACAAAGCUCAUUCUUCACAUCUCCUUGCAAGAGAGGAUUGAAUUUGAAUUUGAGGAGUUCGGUCUUUAGCAACGAUGAGGCUUCAUAUAUUGUGACGGAGGAUAGCAUCAAUGAUCAUGAAUUGGCUCAGAGGAAAGCAGAGGAAGCAGGUAUGAACUAGCAAUAUAUCAAUGAUCAUGAAUUUCUGAUUGAAAUUAGAAACAGAGCACUUGUCCUAGUACUACUACAAUCUUCAUGUUUCUGAAGUUGAUAGUUAACUUUAUUUUGAAAACUAAAUCCAUUUUAGGAAUAUAAUCAAUUUUCUUAAACAAAAAUGUUAAUCGUACUAUUACUAUGGUGUCAUUCCAAUCUUCAAAAGAUAACAUAGUCUUCUAAAUUACUAGACAUGCUUGUUGGUUAAGAUACAUUUCUUCCAAUGAUGUUAUUUCUUUAUGAUCAUAUAGAAAAAGUAAAAAAGUAUGGUAAAAGAAUCAGUAAUAAUUCGAUUGUGCUAAUUAAACAUGGGGUGGGUGGAAAAGAAAAGUGAAUGGGACGGGACACACCAAAACAUUGUGUAGUCCUUAAUGAUAGUAAAGCGCAGUAAGCGGGGGAUAUGUUGCACUUGCACUAAAAUGGGAUUGUGCCCCCCACCAUUACCAUUCAAAUUAUGUGAUUUCAAGCAUGGUGCCUACUACUAGUAGUACUACCCAACAACAACAAUAAAGCAUGGUUUCUUAUAGGUACUAUCCGACCCAAAAAAAAGCACGGUGUCAAUAUAACUUUGGAACAUAAUAAUCUUUGUAAUACUAAUUCAAUGGAACUUAUAGUUAUAUUAUAUCAUUGUUAUUUUGUUUUAGAAUCAAUAGUAACAUACACAAUCCCUUCUAAGUGGAGCGAAUCUCGAGUGAGGUGUUCAAGAGAGAGAUAAGAAGAAAACAUAAAGGAAAAGAGAUGUAAUUUAUAAUAUGAUUGAAAAAGAAGAAUAAAAAGUGAAAUAAAAAUAAAGUAAAUGUGUGAAUGAAUCACAACUCCUUUAACCUCUAUUCAAUCACUCCAUCAAAGCUGCUCAUAGAAAAUUGUUUUAUGUGUCAACAUAACUAAUUAGACUUAUUACAUAUUUAAAUGAGAUAAUAUAAUAUUGUUAAGACUAUGAUAUAAAAUAAUAUUUAAAUACUAAUAUGAUAUAACAAUAUUAUUUUUAGCACUUUCCAUUUUAUCUGUAUCAUUAUCAUAUUUGUUUAUAUCUAUAUGUUCAUACUAAAAAUAUCAUUAUACAAAAAAAAAAAAAUUCUCUUCUAUCUUUCUGUUCAACCAAACAAGAGAGUGUGUCCACAUCCUUUUUUUUCUCUUCACUUUCUAUCAUACAAAACAUCUCUCUUUCUCAAUUCUUUCUCUCUACCAUUUCUAUCUUCUCUAUUUCUAUUUCUCUUUUCCUCUCCUUAACCAAACAAAACAUUAAGUGAUUAAACUAAACUAAAACGGUGUCGUAGGAACAUUUCCCGCCAUCUCUUCUUGUUGUUCAUAGUAGAAACUGUGGUGGUUGUAGUUGUGAAUGUGACUGUGUUUGUGUGUGUGUGUUUGAGAGUGCAGCUUCAAGGAGGAACCAAGCAGCUGAAUGGCUUCGGCAAAUGGACGACGGCGCAGCCGCAUCAUCACUCUCCAAACAAUCCUCCGAGGAAGAAUUCUGCCUUGCACUCCGCAAUGGCCUCAUUCUCUGCAAUGUCCUCAACAAAGUCAACCCCGGUGCUGUCCUCAAGGUCCUUCCUUCUCCCUUUUUCCUUUCUGGGUUUCCUCCAUUUUUCUUCUCUUGUUUCAGAUAUAACAGAAAAUCAUGUGUAAUUCACUCAACACACACCUUUAACUUAUUCACAUGAUCAAUUGCAUGUUUGGCUAGACUUUUGGAUAAUUUGUUAUUGACUUGAUUAAUUUCUGUGCUAGAAAGACCCAUAAUCACUUUUUAAGAGAAGCUAUAAAAUUUGCUUUUGUAGUUACUAGUUAGCUUGCUUUGGAUUAUGUAUCUCCAUCAAUGCAAAUAUGCUAUAAAUGGUUUGGAAUUUGAAUCCUAGACUCUCAUUUUCACAAUAAAAUGUUAAACUUUAGCACUAGAUAGAUGAACCAAUGUAAUAUCCACAAUUCUAAGCCUAAAGGGCUGUUGCAUGAGGAAGCUUAUUAUAAAUCUAAUAUAAAAUCAAGUUUUUUCAUGCAAUGGAUUGAAAUUUUGGAGAUAUUUAUUUCAUGAAAUGUCUUCCCCUUCAUAUUACGAUGCCUUUUAUGCUCCGCUGAUUUUUUUUUUCCUUUUUGACUUUUCCGGUUUUCCCUUGGUUUGUAAAUUGCUGUGGAAAAAGGUGGUGGAGAAUCCUGUCCCUGCGGUUCAGUCUGCAGAGGGAGCUGCGCAAUCUGCGAUUCAGUAUUUCGAGAACAUGAAGAAUUUUCUGGAUGCAGUUAAGGAUAUGGAGCUUUUGACUUUUGAAGCUUCGGAUUUGGAAAAAGGUUGGAGCUUUGAAUUGAUUAGUGAUGACCCUCCCUUUGAGAUUAAAGAUGCUACCUUGUCUCAAUAGCCAUUUCAUUAUUGCUCUUUUGGAGUUCUCUAUUAAUGUGGUUUGUUCUGUGCUUGUAGGGGGUUCAUCAAGUAAAGUUGUGGACUGCAUUCUCUGUUUGAAAGGGUAUUAUGAAUGGAAGCUCUCAGGUGGUGUUGGCGUGUGGAGGUAUGGAGGAACAGUGAGGAUUACUUCCUUUCCUAAAGGAACUCCUCCCUCCCUUGUGGACAGUGAAAGUGCUGAUGAAUCCCUGGAUGAGUUUGAUUCGUCACAGUAUGAACAGCUACUUAAAUUUCUUCAUCUAUCUGGAGAGGUCUCAGUUGAAGAAACCAGAACUACCAAUGCUUUUGCUUUCCUGUUUGAUCACUUUGUACUCAAAAUUCUCCAGGCUUACCUCAGAGAAACUGAUGAGACUGAAGAUUUGCCGCUGAAUGCAAUGGUCGGUAAGAUCCUCUCCAAUGUGUUGUAUUUUUCUUGCUUCUGUUCUUGUUUAAUUGUACGAAAACUUUGUAGAUUGAUUUAUAUGAUUAGUAGCUGGCUAUAUACAAAAAUGAUUAUACAUAGAUCACCGAGCAAUAAAUUCUUAGUUUAUAAGCAUGUGAAAUAGUCUAAUGCAGUAAUGCCAUGGUGCAUGCAAAUGCAAUGAAGGAUGUUUUCUAUUUUAGAAUGUAACUAUAUGGAAUUUUAAGACUGUCAAAUUAGAUUUUUUUUACAAAUUUAAUUUAUGUGUAAAUAUUCAUGCUAUCUUAUUAGUCUUCGGGUGAAAUUUGGCAGGUGAUUGAUACUUUUCUCAGGAAGGUAGUCAUGGAUUUUUCUUCAUUGCUUGUUUCUCAAGGCGCUCAGGUACUUCAAACUUUUAUGUGCCUUUUGGAUUGCUACCACGUUUUCAAUGUAAAAGCACCCUCGUUUCUGUUGUUUUCCAGCUCUACAAGAAAUGAUUGACAGUGGUUUAGUCUUUUCCUUUUCCUUACUUCGAAAGGUCAUCUAAAAUAUAGUUCUUCACAAUUGUCUACAGCUUGGACGUUUCCUCAAGAAAAUAUUGAAAGGAGAUAUUAGUUGCCUCUCUAAGAGAGAAUUCAUAGAAGCCAUCACAUUAUAUCUUAAUCAAAGAAAUAGCUUGGCGUCGAAUGAUUUCUCUAAUUUCUGCACUUGUGGUGGAAAACGUGUCAGUAUUCAGCGAAAUGUGAACUAUUCUGCCAAGCAUGCUGAAAUAAUUGAUGCUCAGAAACAACUUGAGGUAUCGAAGUGGAAAAAUCUAAUAUGCCGCUAUAGAUGCUUUAUCAUGUGUGAUUAGAUUAGCACCAUGCACUGCAAUGAUAUUUUUCUUGCUACAGGCAAUGAAGUACUUCUUUGAAGAGAUUAAACGGGAGGUCAACCAGAUUCAGUCCGAAUGGCACCAAGAAGUGAGCAGGCUUGGUAAGGAGCUAAGACUUGAUUUUCCAUGAGAAAUAUCACCCAUGCAUGUACAAUCUUUUGAUAGUCAUAAUGUUGAAUUGAGUUCCAUGUACUUUUUAGAGAAUCAUAUAAAGAGUCUGGAAGUAGCCUCCUCUUCCUACCACAAAGUUUUAGAGGAGAACCGCUUUCUUUACAAUCAAGUGCAAGAUCUCAAAGGUAACUCAAGAAUCCAACAUUUUUUCAAGGUUCUUCUUACAUGAUUUUUUGUGUGUUAACAAAUCUGCUGUCUUACAGGAGCCAUUAGGGUCUAUUGUAGAGUGAGACCGUUCUUACCAGGACAAUCAAAUGGACAAUCUACAGUAGAUUAUAUAGGAGAAAAUGGAAACAUAAUGAUUGUAAAUCCCCUUAAGCAGGGUAAAGAUGCUAGAAAGGAAUUUUUAUUCAAUAAGGUGUUUGCAACUAGUGUCACACAAGGUACUUUAAUAUUUUGACAUGUAUUAUUACAAAAUGGUAUAGGGCCUCUAUGUACUUUUUUCUACAUGGUUCUUAUUAUAUGCAUUUGUUACAAAUAAACUUAUGGACUUUGUAUCCCUUUUUUGGAAGAUUUUUAUGAUGAAUUUUCUUUAUCGUGUGCAGAACAAAUAUAUGCUGAUACUCAACCCUUGGUCAGAUCGGUUUUAGAUGGCUACAAUGUAUGCAUCUUUGCUUAUGGACAGACUGGCUCAGGAAAGACCUACACGAUGGUAAUGUUAUUUACAGAAAUGUGCAAGCACAUAGAAAGUAGUCAAACACAUAAUGUUACUUAUACAUUCACUUAAUGUUUGUGGAAUUUGAAACCUAAGCCACAUUGAAAGAGUAAUAAUAUUUCAAGGUAAUUAACUGGGUUUGCAAUAAUUCAAAGUAGGAUAUUUAUUGUUGUCUCAUAAUUUUUCUGAUAUCUAUGUUUUAUGUGAUUUAUUGCUUGUACAGAGUGGCCCUGAUCUGAUGACUGAAGAGACAUGGGGUGUGAACUAUAGGGCUUUGCGUGAUUUAUUUCACAUAUCGAAGGAAAGAGCAGAUGCCAUAAAAUAUGAAGUUGGCGUCCAGAUGAUUGAAAUAUACAAUGAGCAAGUGAGAGAUCUAUUAGUCAGUGAUGGCUCUAACAGAAGAUAUCCUUCAAGCCCAUAUUUGCUGUAUUUAUAUCACACCAUUUUUUCAAUAUGUACAUGAUUACAUGAUAAGCCUUACUUUUUUGUAUCGAUUUUUGCAAUAACAUUUAUCUUUGGUUCAUUUCCUCAACUAGAUAUACAUUAGAAAUACGAAACAACUCUCAGUUGAACGGUCUUAAUGUGCCUGAUGCAUCUUUAGUUCCUGUUAAUUGUACUCAAGAUGUUCUUGAUUUAAUGAAAAUUGGUCAAAGGAACCGUGCUGUGGGUGCUACAGCUCUGAAUGAGCGAAGCAGCCGUUCUCACAGGUGAAACUUCUUCUUCAUGAGUAUUAGAUAGAUGGCUACUCUAACCAUCAAAUAUAUUUAAUUUAGUAAAAUUCUCUCCCACCCAAUUGCAGUGUGUUGACAGUUCAUAUCAGAGGGAGGGACUUAGUUUCUAACUCCAUUCUUAAGGGCUGUCUUCAUCUUGUGGAUUUGGCUGGAAGUGAGAGAGUGGACAAAUCUGAGGCUGUUGGUGAGAGACUAAAGGAGGCCCAACAUAUUAAUAGAUCACUUUCAGCACUUGGGGAUGUUAUCUCAGCUUUGGCACAGAAGAGUCCACAUAUUCCUUACAGAAAUAGCAAGCUUACACAAGUUUUACAAGAUUCAUUAGGUAACAAGAAGACAUAAUUGAUCCCCCACCGAUCCUAAUUGUCAAAAUUGUUUUCUAUUUUGAAUUUCUUUAAAGAAUAUUUUUUUCAUAUCAAUAGGUGGCCAUGCAAAGACUUUGAUGUUUGUUCAUAUAAAUCCUGAACUGAAUGCUCUUGGGGAGACAAUUAGCACACUGAAGUUCGCUGAGAGGGUUGCAUCCAUUGAACUAGGGGCAGCUCAAUCUAAUAAAGAAACUGGUGAAAUCCGAGAGCUAAAGGACGAGGUUCGGGUUUUGGUCUUGAAUAGUUCAAUUUUAAAUUAACUUGACCAGUAUUUUUACUCUAGCUUCAACAUUAUAUAGAUAUCAAAUAUGAAAUUGGCUUUGGAGAGGAAGGAAUCCGAACUGGAACAAUGGAAAUCUGGGAAUGCACGAAAUGCCUUAGAAUCUCAAAAAGCAAGAGCAGUUUCACCUUUUCGUUUGCCCCGAAAUGGUACCAAUGGCAGCAUGAAGUCUGAAAAUUCUCAAAGAUCCAUGGAUGAUAGAAACUCUGAGGUCAUUGCAUGCAGAUAUAACUUGUUACAAUAAAUUUGUCUAAAAGGUUAUUAUUUGGACUAUCUAAAACUGAAAUUCUAUUUUCAGGCUAAAAGUUGUUCUUCAGGCAAGCAAAAAAGGUCAAGAUUUCCCUCGGCGUUUGUGGACAAAGACUCCACACCAAAAAUGUCUAUUCCGGCUGAAGAAAGAUCGGUGAACUGGAGGAAGGAUAGGUCACCUUCACCACCAGUUAGGAGAUCAAUAUCCACUGAUAGAGGGUCUGUCAUCAAAAGCAAGGUCAAGAGUGACACAAUAGAGAAUCAAGCAAUAUUAAAACCUCUAUUUCCAGCUAGAAUACCAGUAAAUAAAUCUCUUGCCACAAUGCCAAUGGCUCCAUCUACGGAGAAUAACACUUCUCAAAAUGUCUUCAACCUCCAAAACGUAAACACCAGGAAAGUUUAUCAAGAACAUGAAGAGGAACAGUUGAAGCAAGUAUCUGGUGUGGUAAGACAAGGUGGCAUUAGGAAAAGCAAGGUUGAGCAUAAGGCCAAGGUCAAGCAUCAUCAGCAAUUGCCCAUUAGGAUUCAGAAGGCUGGUCAGGUACCUACAUCAAUUACUGACAUGGAAAAUGCUGGUGAAGUGACUCUGGAGGCACCUCGAAAGAGUGAUUACUCUGAGCCAGAAAAUGAUAUUAGCAUUAUGGGGUCUGCAGUCCACGGUGUGUUAAAUCUUAAAAAGAUACGUCAGAACAUCUCAAGGAAUCCUCAGAACCUUGAAUCAAGGUACAGCUCAAGCAAAUUUUAUAUCAUUCUUUACAAUUCCUGAUAACGCCACCUCAUUUUUACUAUUUCAAACGAGUCAGCUAAUAUUUUACUCCAACCAAUCAAUUCUAAAAAAAAUUCUUAAAUGGACUCAACUGUUUACCCUACACUUUAUAUUUGAUUAUUUAUCUAUAUUUCAUUCAUUUAUCAUCAUAAAAUAUAAAAAUGAGUCCCACAAAAAGCAAAUACCAACUGGUUGCUGCAGUAAGCCACCGGUGGUAUGACAUGAAAAAUCAAGCUGCUAUCCAAGGGUGCAAAUACUCUGAUUGGGGGAUCUGGAUUUAAUGCAGUCAACUGCACAUCACUCACAAAUCCAAGCCGUUUGAUUAAAAUUAGAUGGCUCACAUUUCUAGCAUGCAUUUGUAUUUGAUUUACUAAGAUUCAAUACUAAUCAUUGGAUUAUAAAUUCAAUGGCUAUUGUUGAAUGAAUGCAUCGAUUGUGUAAAAUGUGAUUGCAGUCAAUCUGAAUCCUUGUCUGUGUUGCUUUCCGAAAAGCAACUUUCGUUGGAGAUGCUCUAAAUGAAAAUUUUCAAUUUUCACUUGUUUAGUUGUUUUUUUUUUUUAAAGAUGAUAUUCUUAGCCUCAUUGGUAACCAUGAGUGACCAAUUUUUGUCACAUGCAGAGGGACAGUGAAAGCAGUUGAGCCUUUGUUGUCUAGCAAAGCUGAAAACAAAGUUGUAAUCGGUUCAGGUCGCAAUACUUCCAUGCAUGAAUAUAGAAGGAGCCGAUCUACACCGCGGGGAAAGUUUUUUGUUUUAUCUUGAAGAUUUCAGGUAAAAAAUGUAUUGUUUUCUGUUAUGUAUUCUUGUACAGUGACUACCACUGAUGUGCAUGCUGUAGUGCAAGCUCACAUGAUUUUGUAGAGACUUAGAGAAAGGUUUCAGGUCAGUUUGUGUAACCUUUCUCUAUAUUUGUAUUCUGAUCAUGGUCCUUUUGUAAUUUGAAAUUUCCAAGGUCAAUAUAGUUUACAUCAUGGGGUGUUGUAUGUAGUACACAAUUUUAUUGACAAGGCAUAUUUGCUGCAUUUUAUGAACUCAACCACCCAUAUAAAAUUCAUCAAAAAUCUAAUGGAAGAAAUAAAUAAACUUGUUGGAAGCUUUUUGCCUAGUUAUUGAAUGGCCCUUAACAUUUACAACUUUUUGUGAAAGGAUACAUUUAUGUGUGUUUGUUUCUCUCUUGCACCAAUCCAAACGUGAUUUUACAAAUCUCCCUCACAAAUGGAGAAGUAAGAUUUUGUCAGCAUUGAGGUUAAUGAAAAUCCGGACACACAUAUUGCCUCUACAAAUUGCUCCGGAAUCACGUUUCCAGCAAUUAGAAGUUUGCAAACAUUUAUAAAUCCAAUCAUAAAUUUUUUCAGAUGCUUGUUAGGAUAGAAGUGUAAUAUAAAACUAUUCAUAUUUCCUUUAAAAGUGUUUUCCUUGAAAUUUGAAAAUAUAAUUCCCAAACAAAAUAUGAUUUUUUUUCUCAAUUUAAUGGAAUUAUGGAAACAGAAGCACUGAUAUGCUGCUUUAUAAUAUGAUACUGUGUUUUUUAUUAUGUGAAUAUAUAGUAAUUAGUAUUUAUAACACCCUAUAUUUUAAGAAGCUCCAAAGAACAUCUCGACCAGCAUCUUCUCUUGCUGGUUUUUUUCCAAAUGUGACAUUUACUAUAAUUAGAAACAGCUCAAUUUGUUUUUAUUUUUAUUUUUAUGAAGUUAUGAGACAUUAACCUAUUAAUGGAUAGAAACAAAAAAAAGAAGAAACUUUUGUUGUCAACACCUCAUUGGCAACCUCAGCAUAGAUCUUAUUCCUGAUGGUGGAUCUUAGUUUUCACGUAUUUCCCAGAGUUCCAGCUAUUGCACAUCAUUUCCUCGCGUGGAGAUUCAUGAAGAACCUCUAAUCAAUAACCCCUUUGAAGUUCAUAUGAUUUUGAAUCUACAGGGGUGAAAGAUGAUGGUUCAUUGUUGUUCUAUUUGUAGGAAGCAUCAUCAGUGAGUUUACCAAUCAUAUUUCUCUUCGACAAAACAUCCAUUGGAGGCCAAGGAGAAUCAUCUUUCAAUUCUAUAAGGAAAUCAUAGACAUUUGCACGCUCAAUCCAAAGUUGUCUUGAUUAUAUAAUGUGUAUUUGGAUACCAAUUAAUUGCAGCGCGAAUGAAUUUUCAUUCCAAUAUAUAAGAAUCAUUUAUGAGUUUACCAAUCAUAUUUCUCUAUAACAAGACAACCAUUGGAGGCUAAGGAGGAUCAGCUUUCAAUCCUAUAAGAAAAUCGUAAACAUUUGCAAGCUCAAUCUAGAGUUGUCUCGGAUACCAAUUGAUUGCAACACGAAGAGAGUUUCAUUCUAAUAUAUAAGAAGGGUUUCAUUUUUUCCCCUGAAGUGUGUGCUCGCAUUUGUUUGCACGGGGGCCAGCGAAUAUUCAAAACUAGCCAUAUCCAAUGGUUUAAUCUCUUGGUGAAGCUGUGUCAUUGACCAUUCCAGAGCCCCAUCUAGGAAGAAAGGUUACAUGGAUCAGGCCACAAAUAAAGAUGCCCCUCAGAAUUCUAUCACCUUUGUCUAUCAAACUAAAGUAGCAAGUUCAUUCCGCAGUGUAGUAGUGAUAUGGUGCAAGAACCCCAUAGAGCACUCCCUUUCCAUGACCUUGGAAAACCCUUCUGAAGAAAACAAGUACACCUGCAAGAUUGAUCUAGAAUCAGGGAAAUCAUGGGGGAAGAAGGGUCUCAAAUCCUUUGAAAUAGAAGGUGCAAGGCUAGAUAUUUUCUGGGAUUUUCGACAUGCAAAAUUCUCCACAAGUCCACAACCUUGCUCAGGUUAUUAUGUUGCCUUGGUUUACAAGAAAGAGGUGCUUUUGUUACUUGGAGACUUAGUAAAUGAUGCUUAUGCAAGAACCAAAUCAAAACCAUCACCACAAGAGGCUACCUUGUUGUGCAAGAAAGAGAAUGUGCAUGGGAAGAAGCUGUUUUGCACAAGAGCCAUGUUGGAAGAGGGUAAACCAGAACAUGAUGUUGUCAUUGAGACUUCUCUUUCUGGGCCUGAUGAUCCAGAAAUGUGGAUUAGCAUAGAUGGGAUGUUGGCAAGUAGGAUCAUGAACUUGAAUUGGAAAUUCAGAGGGAAUGAAAUAGUGAUGGUGAAUAAUUUGCCUGUGCAAAUCCUUUGGGAUGUGCAUGAUUGGUUGUUCAAUGACCUUGGUUCAGGCCCAGCCUUGUUUAUUUUCAAGCCAGGCUUCUUGGAGCAUACUAGUGAUUCUAAUAGCAGAGAAUUUACAGAAAGAAGUGAUGAUAAUAACAAACAUGACUUACUAGAGGAAAAUCUAUCCACUAGAAGUUUUUUCCAUUUUCUGUAUGCUUGGAGAACUGUUUGAGAUUCAUUUUGAUAGUAUUCUUCAAAAGUGUUUCAUUUUUGGUAGUAAAAGCGAUACUUUCACACAUUUCCUUCUUUAUUAGCAUUUGACUUAGAGUUAUUAACAUCAUGGUUUCAAUGCCUCUUACGUAUGUUUCUUCCUUUGAGCUAUUUCAUUUGACCAGGGGGUGAGACUCUCAAUUCUUUAAUCAGAUAAGGAUGAUUUUUACUUUGCUGGCCAAUCAAAGUAGAGUUUACUUUUAUAGUCAGUAUUUCUAAAACCUACAUCAAUGUCACUUAAACUGGUUUUGAACAUCCUAGCUAUUAUCGAUUUUAGAACUAUAGAUGACAAAAUGAAGCAUAAAAGCAAGUUUUUAUUGGCUUUAGAGUUAGUCUUGUAAUGCCCUUUUAUUGAUAGAUGCUCCAAACUAUAUACUAGAAGAGAAAAAUGAUCACAUACUCAACCACUUCACCAAGAUAUUCAUAACUAAAAGGAAGCGAAUUUAUCUGUCAUGUGAGAAAUAGAUUUGCACCCAUAAAGGAUACUGGGAAACUAGAAAAUACAUUUCUCAAUCAAAAUACAUAGCCAUCUGAAUUUCUUUCUGCUUGAAUCCACAUUUCUCAUAGAACAACUUGUUCUCAACGCUGCAAUCAAGAAUCACCUUAUAACACCCUACGGAACGAGCGUGAUCCGUGAGGAAGUUGAUUAUUUUCUUCCCCAACUGCUUCCCGCGAACAUUCGAAUCCACAACAACAUCCUCAACAUGCCCAACUUUACCACAAUUCCUCAAAAACUUCUUCUCAAUAAACACACUCCCUGUUGCAACGAUCUUCCCAGCAAGCUCGUCUUCAAUGACGCAGAUAACAUGAUUAUCUCCAAGGGAAGUAAGCUCUCGAAACCGAUCCUCGAAUUCCUUAUCAGAGACAGAAUCACAAACGCUAAGCUGUUGCAGUAACUCUAUGAAACCUUUGCCCUUGUCUGAGAUCUCUAAGUUCCGGACUCUAAACUUUUGUUCCUCACUGUUUUGCAUCUUCCUCAAAUUGAAUAACUAGUUAACUACAACAUCCAUUGAAACCAAGAACAAUGCCAUAAACAACAAUAGAUCAGUUCACACUUCACAAUACCCUAUCAAAUUGGGAACAAUAAGGCUGGUUAAUCUUACCUGAAUAUAAUGUACACAAGACUAGGGCUCAAUCUGACUAUAGCUCAAUCUGGUACUCAAUGCUACCUCUGCAAAAUCAGAAUCUUACAGUUAAAUCAUAAAUUUAUAUCAGACCAAGAUAAUCAAAGCAUGAACAUUAGGUUAUAACAAAUUGAAAUGGGUUCGGUGGAGGUGGCCGAGUUUGAUUUUAUUCUCUGUCUAAAUUAAUAUUUUGAAUUAAAAUAUGGCUUAAAUACUCUAGGGGUCCCUGAAAUUGUACCCCGUAUCAAAAUAAGUCCCUGAAAAUUUUUUUUCCGAUUCCGGAUCCCUGGAAUUGUUUUUUUAAUCAGAAUAAGUCCCUACGCCGGAGAAGACGGUGGUUGACGACGGCGGUCAUGGCGGCGCUACGACCAGGGUGUUGGGCCGGCUUCGUCUCGUCCUCAGGAACUCAGUGGUGGUGGUCUCGUGGGCUGGGUCGUCACAGUUGAAGAGAAAAGGCCAGUCGCAAGUUGAUUUCUUCUCGCCGGAAUUUAUGGAGCUUCUCGGUUUCUUCGUGUUAGCUUUGUUUCUUGCGAUUUCUUCGCCCAGAUCAGAUAUAUGAAGGUCUAAGAGUGUUUUAAACAUGUUAUUUCAUGGUUUGUGGAAAUAAUGAGGAGGCAACCACUGUCUUCUCCGCAGUAGGGACUUAUUUUGAUCAAACAAAUUUUUCUAGGGACCCGGAAUCGGAAAUUUUUUUUUCGGGGACUUAUUUUGAUACGGGGUACAAUUUCAGGGACCUACAGAGUAUUUAAGCCUUAAAAUAUUAAAAAAUGUUUUUUUUUCUGACAAAAAAGUGCUAAAUAAAAAAACAAAAGUGGGCUAGCCUUGUUCAGCCCAUAUCAUUGGUGGGGCUGAAUGGCCCAUAUUCAAAAAUGCCCUUAACACAUUUUGGUCAUUUUUCAUUGGAAUAUAUUAGGCUUUGAUCUAAAUGGUUGAUCCUUGCAAGUUGCAUGUAACCAGCAUUUAGAAAUUUAUAAUUGUUGUUAUGAAUCCUUGCUUCAUAGUUCUCUAGUUGAUCUUUUUAUGCUGCUCAAUUGGAAUCAUCUAGUUCACUGAAUCUUCUUCAGCAGUCAAAUUUUUUCUAUUCUUGUCUUCCUAGAGCUAUUUUUCACAAAGAAAAACAGAUAACCCACAUAUUGUAUUUAUAUAAAAUAGUUUAGGACCAUCCUCCUUUAAUUAUACAAUUACAAGAAACUCGAAAUAUAUUAAUUCUAUAAGACCUUUGGUCUGAUGGUUCCAAUGAAAGGAUCUCUAUAAGCAUUCCACUGAUAAUUCAGACAUACAAGUUACGCUAAGUAAGAUACUUAUCUCACCCAAACAUAUUAAAUGUCACAAAUCAGUUGUGGCAUCUGUAAUAGUAGCAUUCAAAGGGAAUGCCGGUAAUAACACUUGCCACAAUUUCACAAUAUCACUACCAUCAAAAAUACUUUUUUUUUGUAAACUAGUGAAGCUUAUAAUAUACUAGUCAAUAGCCCGUGCAAUGCACGGGUUGUCGGCUUAUAUUAUUUUUAAAAGUUAAUGCUUUGGUUUAUUUCUUAGUAUUAUUUAUUAAAAAAAAUAUUUGGAAUUUGGAAACUUCACUGAUAAACUAAAUUUAUUAAAUAGUACAAAUUUAUAGGAUAGAGAUAUGGAGAUAGAACUAAUUUUUGAAUCUGAAUUUGAAGAAUUGCUAACCAAUUUAAAGAGAAUUGCAAACGAAUUUAUAGGAGUUAAAAUAAAAAUUGAAAAAAGGAGAAAUACCGCAAUUUGAGGAAUUUCGAGAAGUUUUAGCAAUUUGUUACGUUGAGAAUAUAAAGUCAUGAUAGAAUGAAUAAUUAAGAGUUGUAUUGAGGGAAAAUGAAAAACCAGCAAAGGGUAUGGAGCGUGAAUGGCACGGAUGAAUGUAGUAGAGAGAUGUAGUUAAAAAUUGAGAAAACUAAUGAAGUGGAUAAAUAUGAGGGAGGGUGUGGAAUUUGAGUGCCUCACUCUCUAGAAUGAGAUCUCAAAUUUAUUAGAUAACAGAGUUGAUAUUGGAGAAAAAUGUUAAUAUGAAAUUUUUUAUAUUUAAAUAGCAGUACAUAUUCAUCUCUUAAGAAGAAAAGUGUAAUUUUAAAAUAAAAAUUGACUUUUAUUAAAGGAGAGUAUAACUUACACAUAACCUUUUGGUUCUUGAUGUCAUUUUGCGACGGAAAAAGCGUACACACUUGGUGACGGAUUCAAUUUCAGAUGAAUAUACUCUUUAUAUCCUCGAUAUUUAACCCUAUAAUCUUUUUUAUUUUUGAUCAUCACAAAUAGUGGGAAGCUCUUGGUAACUAGCCACAAAUUUUGGCUACAUGACGAUGAUGGCAACUUUCGCGGCAAAUAUUGGCUUCAAAAUCUCUCAUCAGUUUCCGUCUCGCGUUUUUUCAACUGCCCGGUGAGUAAUUCUCAGUUGGGGUAUCAAAAUGACACCAAAGUUUGAUUUUUUCAUUCUAAUUAUGUAAUGGAGUUCUAAUUUAGCUACCCAAUUGGUUGUGUUGCAUUGACUUGAUGUCAAUUCUCAUAAAAGACUCAGCUUUUAAUAGGGAUAGAUAGAUUUUGAAAUUUUUUGGCUUUGAUUCUUACCCUUCUUCUUUUUUUGUUAAAAAUAGGAUCUUUUGGAGGUUUCAGAUUGCUUGCUUGAAGAGCAGAGAGUUUAGUUCUUCUGUUCCUGCUAGGUACAUUCCUAAAUCACCUGAAACUGCUCUGCCAGUGAAAAGCCUAGAAAGUUCUAGCUUCCCUGAUGUUAGUGUGCCCAAGAUAAAUGGUGGAAGUGAGGCUAAUUCAACUAUUGCACAUUAUGGAACUUCUCGCAAUCCGGAUGAAGUUCACACUGACUUGCUCUUUGAUGACAAUCAAGAAGGUAAACUGCUUUCUAACAACUUCUAGUGUGACAUAUAGUAGUUCAUUAUUUCGGGGUUAGUUUUGCUUUACUAUACACUAUUGCCUAUUCGUGGCUCGCUAAUCGCCAAAGAUUUGUGAUUUUAAGCAUUUCAAUUAUAUUUGAUGCCGGGCAUGUGAUUGAAGAUACAUUAUUUUUUUAUAGUGACAUUGGAUAAAUACACAAGUCCUGAUAUUCUUUAGAUAGACCUGAUAUUUUAAAUACAUAAGAGAUUAUUCACUUCGGGGUUUGGAGGUCUCAUUGUGAUUGAUAAGUCGAAUAAAAUUGAACUUAAUUUGAUAAUUAGCAACAUAAACACGGAAGAAAAGUCAAGCGUGGUUGUCUUGUGGUUAACUAAGUUAAUUUUCUCCAGCUCUCAUAUGAUCUCCUCAACUGUUAAGAUCGAGGAUUGAUGAUAGGUUCAUGCUUCUAGAUUCACCGUGUUCAUUUUUUCUGAGAUACAAAUUAACACAUGUUGUCUUGUUAGAACCUGUUUUAGCUCUCAACUUGGGCUUCUUUUUACCAAUCUGUUUUAAUGGAAUAACCGGAUGUAGAAUCAACCAGGAUGAUUAGAAAUGAUAUUGCACAUAAAACGUGUAUAAUAUAGGAAGUGAAGUUGUUCUAAACAUCUUAAUUUGUGGAUUGUAGGUUCUGAGCAGAUGGAAGAGGUUGGAGAGUUGACAAUCCACCUGGCAGGAGACGCGUGUGAAAAGGAUUUAAUACAAACUGACAAAUUUACCAAUGAUGUUGAGCAAUCAGCUAUUAAGCUACUUGCAGUUAGGUUAAUGCCCCCUGCCCUGAAAACAGAAGUUAUUUAAUGCUAGACUUGUUAUGUUAUGUUAAGUAUGGUCAACAAAAUCACGAGCAUGAUGUUUCCUUGUUCAGUGCAAGAGAAAUCAUUUUUAUCAUGCUACUAUGAGUUUACUGUAAAUAUGCCAUUUUGCUUCUCUCUUUGCAUGGUUUGUUCAUAACACCAACAGUAAAUUGCCACUAUGCUUACUGCUUCCUGUUGAGAGAACUGCCUUUUGAUUUUGACUCAGUAUAUCAAGUAUUUGCCUUCUCUCAACACUGCCAUUAAGAUUUUUGAAGAAAACUGAUGAUAUGCUAUGAGCCUAUAACUGAAAGCUAAAAAAUUAUUUUAAAGCAUAGGCAUUUUAUUUCGCAUUUUUUUAAACUAUCUGUUUAAAAAUAUCCCAUAUUUAUCUUCAACCUUAAAUUUCAUCUUGAUUGGAGUAGUUUGCAUAUCAUUAUAUCAAUGAAUAGGGUAAUUCUGAAUGAAGCAUAGCUUACUUGGCAUGCCUUUUGAAAAAUUUAGCAAAUUGUUAGAAACAAUUAAUUUCCUGAAUUUGUGUUUCUUAGAAGUUAAGGGAAUAAGUUCUGUGAUAACUGAUAAUUCAAGUCAACUUAUAUCUUUUGCCAGUUGGGAGUGUGUGCAAUCUGCAUUUACAUUUAAUGUGAAAUGCGGUCUUUUAUUAAGCUUGCCUGUCUCUCUGCUCUGCAGGGCACUCACAGCAGUCGAGUUAAGAAAAAAAUUGCUUGGAAAGAGAUUUUCUCCUAAUGCAGUGGAGGCAGUGAUAAGCAAGUUGCAGAGAAAGUAUGUUGUUAACUUCAUGUAAAAUCUGUUCAGCUGUUAUUUACCAGCUACUUUUAUAUGAACUUUACCUGAAUCUCUACAUGCUUCCAGACAACUACUUCCUCAACUUGGUUCCCAUAAUGUUUUAUUUAUGGACAACAAAAUGAGAGUAAUAUGUGUUAUUUGAUUCCUGGCCUUGAAAAUGAGAUGCCUGCAAUUAGAGAUGCAGUUGGUUAUCAUGACAAUGAUUUGGAAUGCAGCUCUAGCCAACUGUUAAUUCAGUCAUUGUGUCUAACUGGAUGUAGAGUAGUAGUCAAAAAAUGAUUGUUUUGGACAUUUUAGAGUAACCCACUUUAUGCAGUUGGGAGUAAUGAGUAUGUUUAUUUACAAUUUUAACUUCGAAGUCGUUGUUACAUGGAGCUCUUUUUUUUUAAUGAUAGGUAACAAUUGCCACCACUUUUUAAGUUCUUAGUGUUCAGAAAAUUUAUAUUAAAUUUGAACACAUAAUUAAUUUAUGUAUGCAAAUAAAAUUCCCUUCUUAUUUAAAAUAACCUGUCAUAUCUCAUAUAAGAAUUAUUCAUUUUGCAAAAGUUAUCAUAAACUUUCUCUUCUGUUUGACAAAUAAUUACCUUGUCUUGUGUAGUACUUUUCAUAAUGCACCUUUUCAAGUUCAUUUAUAAAACAUGAAUUCGCAAACAUUUUUAUACAUGUUGUGGAUUUGUGGUGAUCCUUUAAUCCCUUUAUUUGUACCAGAGGGUUUAUCAAUGAUAGGUUGUAUGCUGAAUCAUUUUCUCAAUCUAGAUGGUCUUCAUCAAGUUGGGGGCCAAGGAGGAUCAAACAAGUAAGCUAGUCCAUAUUGUACUUUUGUUCAGCCUGUUACUUUUUUGCUUUCUUAUACAUUGCCUCACUGCUAUUCCAUUCUGUCUUUUUCCUUGCUAUGUCAUUAGUCUCGUUGCCAAGCAAAAGAGGAAAUGAUUCUGUCAGUAUUAUGCUUCUGUUGUGCUUUCUAAGUUUAAUUACAUCUUUUCCUGCUUGACUUGUGUUAUAGUUUAUUUUACUUGGUGAGUUGCUUGCCAAAUGCAAAGUUCCCACCCAAUAAUUUUAAACUAAACUUAUAAUUUAUCUGAUUGAAUGCUUUUAAAAAAUAUUAAAUAUAAUAAUAAUAAUCAUACGUGUGUUUCAUUUUAAAUUUGAGUUUAUAGAUUGCACGGUGGGUUUAAAACAGCAACCUUUAAUUCUUUAAUUUAAUUAUGAUACUUAAUUUUUUUUUUUGAAACGAUACUUUAAAUCAUAACUACACAAUAUAACAUUAAAAACGGAAAAAUCACAUGAGAAUAUGAUAGUAUGACUUGGUCUUUUGAUUGUUUCUCACUACUUCAGCAAAAUAGGAAGAGAAUCCGGAGUCAAAAUAAGAGUACCAGAAAAAUAGGAUAUUUGCUAUAACAGAAUGGAACAAUUUGCACUAUAAGAAUGAAUGUUAUCUCACUCUUGAAGCAAUUCACCGUUCGCAAUUCUCACCUUCACCAUUCACGAUUCUUUUUCUUCUUCUUCUCCUUCUCAGAAUCUCCAUUUGCGAUUUGAGAUCCUCCAUUGACGCUCAAUCUGCAGCUCUCGUCUUAAAGUAUGUACGUGUGUCUUCUUUUUGUUCUCACAAGUUUAUGGAAUGCUCUCCAUUUUGUGAUUUCUGAUUUAUUUCUAAUUUUGCAUUUUGUUUCUCUUUGGAAUCACAGAUUAAGAUUAAGCAGAGAUUCUCAGGAGUGGGAACCUUAACAUUGUUAGCAAAUAUCCUAUUUUUCUGGUACUCUUAUUUUGACUCCGGAUUCUCUUCCUAUUUUGCUGAAGUAGUGAGAAACAAUCAAAAGACCAAGUCAUACUAUCAUAUUCUCAUGUGAUUUUUCCGUUUUUAAUGUUAUAUUGUGCAGUUAUGAUUUAAAGUAUCAUUUCAAAAAAAUAAUUAAGUAUCAUAAUUAAAUUAAAGAAUUAAAGGUUGCUGUUUUAAACCCACCGUGCAAUCUAUAAACUCAAAUUUAAAAUGAAAUAUAUGUAUGAUUAUUAUUAUUAUAUUUAAUAUUUUUUAAAAUUAUUAUAUUUAAAUAUAAUAAACCGGGCUGCCGUUUUUUUAAUGGACUGCAAUUGUGUUGCCAGGCACUGUUCAAGAAGGGAGUUAGUCGAGCUGAUGCUGAAAAGGCACUUGAAGUGGUUUUUGAGGACAAUGAUUGUGCUGAAGAUCAUCAGUCAAUUAUUGGAAUGUCAAAGCAGUCCAUGGAUCAUCUUUAUGCUCAGGCCUCAAAGCAGUGGCUCAGAUGUCAGAAUGUACCCAAGGAGACAAGAAAAUCAAGGAUUGUGAGGUGGCUUCAAUACCGCGGAUUUGACUGGAAUGUCACUAGCUUCAUCUUGAAGAAAUUAGAGAGGCAGGAGCAGAAUCCUCCAUAGUGCACACAAUAGGGACAUCCAAAGUUCAUACCAAUCUGGAAAUCCAAUGGCGGGGUCCGUACAAGUUUCUUGUAUUGUUUAGUGUGUAAAAGGGUAGGGUUGAAGCCUCCAUUGACUCAUAAUGGUGUUGCAAACAAACUAGCAUUUGAUUGCUUCAAUGUGCUCUAGGCCAUAUGGAAUCGGAGCACACAAGACUAUUCUUGUCUGAGUACAUUGAAGCUACUUUUUUUUACACUCAGGCUGAGAUAAGGAACAAGCACCACUGAGGACUGAGGAGGUUCUACUUGUGAUCCACUUGUCUGGCCAGUCUUGGAGAUAAGCAACUCUUUGGUACUCUUGUAUUACUGAAGUUUCGUGCUCAAAGAAGUUACAAUGCUAUUUAUUGGUUAAUUUAUUUGAUCUGAAUCAUGUUUAUGAGAAAUUGUAUUGAACCUCAUCAGCUUCAAGUUCUUGCAAAUAUUAUUUCCAACUUUUUCAUUUUGGCAAUAUGCCCCUUCAACUAAAAAAAUGUUAUAAUAGUUGAUUUUUUUUGUUAAUAAAAACCGGUCCGAGGCUUCAUAAGAAAAAAACGUAGUUCAGGCUAUGAUUUUUUUUACGGGUAGUUCAGGCUAUGAUUUAGGGAAAAGAAGCUAAUACUCAGAAAUGAAAUGUCUAAACUUUGCAAUUUUUGUACUAAAGGUUAUUUGGAUGAAGGGGGUUCAAAAUUAUUUGGGUGAAACAAGGGUUUUCACCGCCGAUAACAAUGACUAAUUCUUUUGCUGCGGGUGCUCGCACUAAGCUGUAAACAGCUGACCACAAUAUUUGAUAAUGAGUGUUUUAAAUUGCAUCAUCUUAACGAUGGUUGAAAAAUAUUUGAUACAUCUAUUAAUUAUUUUUAAUUUCUUAAGUAUAUUAAACAAAUUGUGUUUUGAUAUAAGACAUAAUUUUCUUUAUGUUAGUUAUUUUGUAUGUUUUGUUCCCUUAAUCACUGUCUCAAGGAUUUUUGUUAAUAUUUGCUUUUUAAUUUUAGCAAAAUUAUAAUAAGCCUAAUAUUAAUUUCAAUCUUAAUUUCUAAUGGGAAACUAGAACUUAACUCAUCUAAAGUGAGUGAACUCAUACUUUGUUUACGAAAGAACCCAUUAAAUAUGAUAAAAGCUUUUUGCCUUUUUGAAUAAUGCAGAGAAUUUGUUGAACCUUGCAUAUGAUGGAAAAUUCCCUUGCUCACUUUGCAAUUUGGAAAUGCUGCAUGACUAUCAAUUUGUUAUGCACGUUAUCUUUCAUUCCAGCAUAUAAUGGUCCUGCAGAUGCAUGUGCAUAUGACUUAGGAUAUUCAGUCUUUGAAUCAAAAUUUAGCAUAUGUGCUUCUGGAGGAGUUUCCAAUCGCUUCAAAGUUUCUUUCUAACAGAACCUGUUACAUGUGGGGUAUUGAACGUGGGACCAUGUGAGCACUGUUUGAAGUGAGCAAUUUGAGCUGGCUUAGGUGUGUUUGUAUAUGUGUAAAUUCUAAUACAAAUAUCCAAAAAAAAUCAAUCAUUGUUUCAAUUUCCAAACGCUCAUAUGUUGCUAUCUUCUAUUAAAUGUAAUGCAAUUAAAGUGUGAUUAGAAAUAACUACUGUCUAAAUGGUUAGUGGGGUUAAUUACCCUUGAUUGGCUGUAAUAGUAUAAAUAGGUGAGAGAGUCAUUAACUGCAUUGACUCUAUUGAUUACAGAAAUAAUAAGAAUUGAGUUUUCCCCAAUUUUGAUUCUCUCUCUCUUUUCCUUCUGUUUUCUUGCUUUCUGGAAUAAUCAAUUCCAACAAACUGGUAUCGAGAGCUAUUGUUCGAUCUAAGGGUCACGACUGCGGCGACGAGGGUUGCGACGGCGAAGAAGGUUGCGCUGUGGCGAUAGGGCGGUGCGAUUCAAGUCCGCGACGAUAUCGUCUUCUCCGGCAAACCACACACGGUGGUUGAAAUCAUUCGCCAACACCGAUUCUCGAUCUUGAAGCCAUUCACUUCUCAUCUUCUUGCGAUGACAUCCACAGGGAAUUCAGGUUCAGGGUUCUCAGCGAACAUCCCAAUUCUUGAUGGUAAGAAUUGGAACAAGUGGAGUGUCAAGAUGAAAGCUGUAAUGGGGUUUCAAGAAGUUCUGGAAAUUGUGGAAGAAGGGUUCACAGCGCCGGCAGAGGGUGCUACUGAAGCUGCGAAAACGUUGUACAAAGAGCAAAAGAGGAAAGAUUUCAAGGCUAUCUGCUUGCUUCAUCAAGGAGUAGAUGAUGCACACUUUGAGAAAAUCUCAAGUGCGAAAUCCUCGAAAGAAGCCUGGGGAAUCUUGGAAAAAUGCAAUGAGGGAGCGGAACAAUUAAAGAAAGUUCGAUUGCAGACACUGAGGCGUCAAUAUGAGUUGAUGCAAAUGGAGGCUAAUGAGAAGAUAGCACACUAUUGCAAUCGGGUAGUGAGCCACACAAAUGCAAUGAAGGCAUGUGGUGAAACUAUCACAGAUCAAUCUAAGAUGGAGAAGGUUUUGAGAACCUUAACACAAAAAUUCGAUCAUGUUGUAGUUGCUAUUGAGGAAUCCAGGAAGCUUGAAACCUUGACAAUAGAUGAUCUUCAAGGAUCAUUGCAAGCUCAUGAGCAAAGGCUCAUGGAGAGGACCACUGAGAAGUCUGGUGACCAGGCAUUACAAGCACAAACCUUCAAGAAGGGUGGCUAUGGAGGAAAGAGUGGUUACAAAGGUCGAGGCAAGGGCAAGGAGUUCUACAAGGGUGGAAGCUCAAAAGGGAUUCAAAGCAAUUAUCAACAAGAUGGUGGUGAGAAAUCUGAUCAAAAUCAUCAAGACAACACUAAGAAAGGUGGAAACAAGAAUUGGCGCGGUACAGGAAAGAAGAUUGAUAGGAAGAAGCUCAAAUGUUACAAUUGUAACAAAAUUGGGCAUUUUUCGAAUGAGUGUAAAGCACCACCACAGCAAGCUGAUCACAGAGGUAGUCAACAUGAAGAAGCACACAUGGUGAAGGAAGGAUCUGAGGUAAGUAGUGAUGAUCAACCCCUUACUCUCAUGAUGCUCACCAAUGAUAGUGAUAGAAAUAUAAAAAGAUGGUACUUAGAUUCUGGCUGUAGCAAUCAUAUGACUGGAAAUAAGGAUUGGCUUGUUAAUCUUGAUUUCCCUAGAAAAAGUUCAGUGAGAUUUGCUGAUGGGAGAAUAUUACAUGCUGAAGGAACUGGUGAUGUAUGUGUUAGAAGGAAAAAUGGUACUAAUGCAAUCAUAGCUGAAGUCUUGUAUGUUCCUAAGAUGGAGAACAAUCUGAUAAGUCUAGGACAGUUGGUAGAAAAUGGCUUUUCUAUUGACAUAAAGGACAAGUACCUAGAUGUGUAUGAUAGAAACAUGAAGAAGAUCAUUAGAUCUCCUUUAUCAAGGAACAGGACUUUCCAAGUUGAUGUCAAAGCACUUGAAUCCCAGUGUUUAUCAGCUUCUGUUUUGACUGAAGACACUUGGCUUUGGCAUCUCAGAAUGGGCCACUUGAACUUCAAGGAUCUUGCACUGCUCAAGACCAAAGGUCUUGUUACAGGAUUGCCAACCAUUUCUGUUCCUCAGAAGAUUUGUGAUAGUUGCUUAGUCAGUAAGCAACCUCGAAACUCUUUCAGUUCCUAUACAACUUCCAAAGCAAUGGACAUUCUUCACAUGGUGUAUUCAGAUGUGUGUGGUCCUUUUGAAGUACCUUCCUUAGGUGGAGGCAAGUAUUUCAUCACCUUUAUAGAUGAUUUUAGUAGAAAAAUCUGGCUUGAUGUGAUACAAACCAAGGAUGAAGCUUUUACAAGGUUUAAGAUCUUCAAGAACUUGGCAGAGAAGCAAUCAGGAAAGUUCAUGAAGAUAUUAAGGACUGAUGGUGGAGGAGAGUUUACUUCCACAGAGUUUGAGAACUACUGUCUUGAACAUGGUAUUAUGCAUGAGGUGACUGUGCCCUACACUCCACAACAUAAUGGAGUGGCAGAAAGAAGGAAUAGGACAAUUCUUAACAUGGUUCGAAGCAUGCUCAAAAGUAAGAACCUACCACAUUGUUACUGGGGUGAGGCAGCCACAACUGCUGUCUAUGUGUUAAACAAAUGUCCUACAAAGAGACUCCACCAGAAAGUUCCAGAAGAAGUAUGGUCAGGGCAUAAACCUUCAGUGAGUCACUUCAGAAUUUUUGGUUCACUUGCAUAUAGGCAUAUUCCUGACCAGAAGAGGAAGAAACUUGAUGACAAAAGUGAGAUGUUGAUCUUCAUAGGCUACAAUCCUACUGGUUCAUAUAAGCUGUACAAUCCCCAAACUAAGAAGGUCUUAUUCAUUAGGGAUGUCUUCUUUGAUGAGACUUCCACUUGGCAUGAAAUGAAAGAUAAAGCCUCAAAGCCUAACUCAGUGCAUCUAGAGUUAAUUGAAGACUCAUCUACCGAACCAAACCAAGUCAGAACUCUGGGGGAUAGGUCACCAGUGGUAUACACACCACAGUCAGCAAAUAAUAGGCCUUCAAGGCUUAUAAAUUUGCCUCCAAGACUGAGAGAUUAUCAGCUGUUCUCAUAUGACAUAAUUGGAGAAGAUGGUGAUAUUGUUCAGCAUAUGGCUCUUCUAGCUGAGAGUGAACCUGUUAGCUUUGAUGAAGCAAUUACCAAUGACAUAUGGAAGCUUGCAAUGAAGGAAGAACUUAGCUCCAUAGAAAAGAACAAGACUUGGGAGAUUGCUGUUUUGCCACCUGGAAAGGUUCCCAUUGCAGUUAAAUGGGUGUUUAAGGUGAAGCUUAAACCUGAUGGAACAAUUGCCAAGCACAAAGCUAGACUUGUUGCCAAAGGUUUCAUGCAGAAAGAGCGCUUAGACUUCUCAGAGGUCUUUUCUCCUGUGGCCAGACUUGAGACUGUAAGGAUCAUCAUAGCUAUUGCUAGCUGGCAUAAGUGGAAUGUGUCACAAUUAGAUGUUAAAUCUGCUUUCCUAAAUGGACCUCUUGAGGAGGAGGUCUAUGUGUCACAACCACCUGGUUUUGCAGUCAAAUGUCAAGAGGAUAAAGUUCUAAGACUUAAGAAAGCUCUAUAUGGGCUUAAACAAGCUCCAAGGGCAUGGAACAAGAGAAUAGAUGGUUUCCUUGCUAGCUCUGGAUUCAAAAGGUGUACUGUGGAACAUGGAUUAUAUGUGAAGUUCCUUGCUGACAACAGUGUACUCUACAUAUGCUUAUAUGUAGAUGAUCUUCUCAUAACACUACUAGAAAAACUAGUUUUCACAUCGGGUAUUUUUGAGUUUUAACAUCGGUUUUUAUCCGAUGUAAACAAUGUUGAUGUGGUAUCUCCUAACCUUUUCACAUCGGGUUUAUAACCGAUGUACCUUUCACAUCGGUUAAGUCAACCAACUGACGUGAAAUGUACACUUUUCACAUCGGUUCAGUCAGCCAACCGAUGUGAAAUGUAUACCUUUCACAUCGGUUCAGUCAACCAACCGAUGUGAAAAGUAUACAUUUCACAUCGGUUAGACAAAAAACCGAUGUGAAAAGUCACAUCGGUUAGACUAAAAACCGAUGUAAAUGCUCAACCAUUUUUUUUCUUUUUCUUUUUUUUUUACACGAAUUUGACCUGAAUAUACAUAUUUUUUUUAAAGAAAAUUUAUUAAAAUAAAAAGAGAUCUUGAGAACACACUCUCUCAAGUGAGUUAAACAUCCAAGGUCCCAGCAAAAAAAAAAACAUAAUAGCCUAAAAGAACUAGAACAAUUCAGCAAUUCUAGUUCUUUAAAUGUAGUUAAACAGCAACAACUCAUGAAAUUAGGACAAAAUAGUUAAACAGCAACACAGCAACAAUUCAGCAAAACAGCAACAGUUCAGCAAAUUAAUGCCCCAAGCAGGAAAGCCACCAGCACCAUAAGCAUAAAUUAGGAGAGCAGCGGAGGUGAGCAACUUUGAACCCUAUAUAAACAGCAACAAUAAUUGGAGACAACAGAAUUUUCAGCAGAAAAAGACUAUCAAUACCCUUUGUUCUUUAUGUUCCUUUAGUCUUUAUAAACUCUGCAAUUUGCUUCUUAAUUAAGAAUCUUUCAAUAGUAACUUGAUGGGGAAUCAUGGCUAUUUAUUCUAGGGAAGAUGUGGGACUGCUUGGACUAACCUGGGUCGGAAUUCAAAGAGUAGUUCAGAUUAGGUUAUCUUUGGAUCCCUAAAACUCAAAAGCUACUACUGCCAAAUGUCAUGAAUAUGGAGAAGAAUGGUCAUAACUAUCCCCUAAGUGCGUCAAAGAACAAAAUGAUUUCGGCAUAUUCUUGGCAAAGCCAAGAUCUUAAGAACAACACAGGAAAAAAAACCUAAUAGGUUGGUGCUCAGCUACUAAGCCAAAUAACUUCUCUGAUCUCUAAGCUAUGGUGGAAAUUAGAGAAACAGUAGCCCCAAUAGCUAAAUAUAUCUACAUCCCCACCUCAAAGAAUUCAAAAACAUGGAAGUUUCACAACCAAAAUAGACAUACAAAUUUACAUCCUCAGCAAUCAAAACAUAUCCAAAUCUAAAAGGAGAAUAGCAUUCUAAUGGAGACUAUAGAAGAGAUGAGAUUGUUUAGAAGAAUAUGCAAACAAGAGUACACACACUAAUAUAAAGAUAUAGAUUAUAAAGAAAACAAAAUAUAAAUCAGAAAACCAAUAUAAAGAUGCAGAGAAAUCAUAUCUUAAGGAAAAUCAACAUAUAUAUAUAUAUAUAUAUAUAUAUAUAUAUAUAUGCAGAUGAAUAAAAAAAACUAAUAUAAAGAUAUAGAUUAUAAAGGAAACAAAAUCAGUACUUUAUUGAUCCUAUGAAUGGAAAACAGGAGCAUAAAAGACUAAGAGGAGUAUAAGGUUUGGUAGUGCUUUUAUUUGCGAAUCUACUAUUAUAGUUUAGUUGUGUUCUUAUCAUUUUUCUGGUGAAAUGCAAAAAUUAUUACUGGUAUUAUAAUGAAGGUUGCUCUCUCAAGUCGGAAGGUAAGAUAUAAUCACUAUCCAAAGCCACUUAAAUCCCAAAAAUCACAUGUAGUAAAAUCAGUGCUAAACACACGAAAAUAGUCCUUAAAUGAUAAAUUUACUUUUCUUUCAACAGAACAGUUAACAACUGAAGCUGAAUUGUUUCUAAGAGAAAGUUAAAUUGGUCUAUUCACCUCCAAUGUUAAUGACAGCAUUUCCAGCAGUUCCGAAGAGACCAGGAGGAGCAUCACAUCAUAUUUAGUCUCCAGAAGGCAGCUUUUAAUAUAUUGGUGAACUUUGCUUAAUCUUCUUAGCUUGAGGAAAUCUGAACUACAAAACACAAAAGACAAUGAGAAGCAGUUAUUUCCACAAUGAAAUGAAUAUUUAACAAACUAAAUUUUAUCUUUACAUCUGAAUGUUACUCUUCUACCACCAUAACCAUGUGACGAAAAACUACUAAUUCUCAGUAAGAUGUUAAAUUAAACAGAAGAUUAAGCCCACCUUGGAUGCCUUUAAGCUUAAAGUUAAGUAAAAUAGAUCAACAUGUAACUUAUGAUCCCAAAGUCUUAUCAAUUGAACCGCAACAGAGCACCAAUGAGUACUUAUGUAUGUAUCUUAUGGCCAAUCUAUAAGUUGUUUAAAUGAGGGUAUAUAAAUCCCUGUAUAAUCAGUAGAAUGAGGGUAUAUAAAUCCCUGUACAAGUUGAGCUCUUUAACAGAAAUAGAAUUAGUUAGAGCCUGAGUACGGAAACUAACCCACUAAAAGUCUAUUCACAUAAUAAAUUAUCAGCUUGUAAUGACCAAGUAUAUUGCAUACUCUAACAGAAUACAAUAUAUCAUGGAAAAGACUUCUCAGAAACCAACUACCCUUGAGCUCUGAUCACACACCUCUCUUUCAUUCAUGGGUACAUUGAAAAUAUUUACUCAAUCCAACUAUUCAAGUGUAUAACCACAUGCCUAUGAAUCAAUCAAUUCAAAAUCAAGUGAAUCAGCAUCUGCAAAAUGGUGAGACCUUAAAGUUGUAUUAUGGCUUAGAGUAUCAUGCAGAGUAGAAAGAUGAAAGAAUGAAUGUUCAAAAGACUACAAAAUUCAUUUCCUUCAUAAAUGAUAUUUUAUAAGGAUGCAUUUAAUCACAUUUUAUAUAUCACAACUGUAACAUAUUCAUACAAAUCCUAAACUGUAAUAUUUUCAGCUCCAACAAUUAUUUUACAAGGGCAUAGUUUCAUGUACUAGUAAGAUUUAAAUCCAUAACUAAAUUACGAAUGCCCCUUAGCAGUUAGCACUUGCUAAAUCCCAAUGGCUUAACUAAACUACUUCUAGUUCAACCCAGUGGUUACAAACUAACUGACUACUAAAACAGAAUAGAAACGGUAACUGAUAUACAGCUAUUUUCUAUUUAGAGUAAGUUUUCUAACUGAGCUUGUGAGAGCUCAAUAGAUCAAGAAAACCCCAAAAUGAGACUGGUAACAUAAGUAUCACACAUACAAGAUGACUCGAAAGGAUACAAGUGCUUUGUAUAUAGUUUUCUUAGGAAGAUCCCAAAGCUUUUUCCAUGAAAGACUUCAAAGUAGACACCAAUUUUUCAUGGUCAGGGCUAUUGUCUCUUAUGAUCGGAACAUCCAUGAAAUUGUUAAACCAUGUAUGCAAGCGAGGGAAACUCUCAAACACAUCUCCUAAACCUACAAGAAUUUUCACAAAAGACCCAAAAGCUAUGUCCACAAUGUUAAAAGUGUCUCCUCCAAAGAAUUUCACAAAACUGAACAAGAGCAGUCUGGAACACAAAUCGAUUCGAAGCAGGAACACAAAACCAACGACGCCACCACCAACGGAAGAGUCGAAGAGGUUUAAGAUUAGGGUUUUGAUUCACAUCUCUCAAGAAUUGAAUCCCAGGAACGGAAACUGAAUCACAGUAACAUAAUUUAAUUGAGAAGAAGCAAAUAUACGUCGAUUAAAAAAGAAGGAAAAAGACCAUUGUACCUGAAGCCAAACGCACAACAAUCGAAACCAAACAAGGAAUGUGCGGCGGAGUCGGAGGGCGAGGCGGUGGGGCUGAAUGUUGGUUUCACUUUAUCACAGUUCAUGAAAACUCGAAACCAAACAAGGAAUUGGAAUAUUCCGCGAAAACAACCCUUUGAUAUAAGGAAGUUUCAAGAAGGAGGAGUAACGAUUGGUUUAAUUGGAAUUGGGAAUCUGAGACGAUGAAAAGCGCUUACCAUUGCCAGAGAGAUCAAAAUCACGAAGUAGAGGAGUGGAAUGAGAGGUCGAGGUGAUUGACGUGGCAGAAGGAGGUCGGGAAACGGUGGAGGAAGCUCCGGCGUUAGAGAAGAGGUGAUGGUUGUGACUUAGGUCGGGAAACGGUGAAGGAAGUUCUCGAAGAAAAGAGGGACUUAGGUUUUUUCGUGAAUGGAUGAAGUACUUUUCACAUCGAUUAUAACCGAUGUGAAAAAUAAAGAAAAGAGAGACUUUUCCCAACGGUUAUAUUAUAACCGAUGUGAAAAGUACUUCAUUAAAAUUUCAAAAAUGUCACCGCAUUCAGCUUUCACAUCGCUUAUUGUAUCAACCGUUGUAAAAAAUGUUUACUAACUACUUUUCACAUCAGACAUGUUCCCAACUGAUGUGAAAACUCUCAUAAAAGUUUACUAUAAUUUCAAUAUUGCCACCGCGUUAUCUUUCACAUCAGGUAUUUCAUCCACCGUUGUGAAAACCCUGAUGUGAAAAAUACUUUUUCUAGUAGUGUAACUGGAAGUAAUGUGAGUGAAAUUGAGAAGCUGAAGAAUCUGCUGAAAGGUGAAUUUGAAAUGACUGACUUGGGCACUUUAUCCUAUUUUCUUGGAUUGGAAGUAAUCCAAACUGACAAAGGUUUAUUCAUGAGACAGAAGAAGUAUAUCUCAGAAGUUUUGAAAAGAUUUAACAUGUGGGGAUGCAAUGCUACUGAAACUCCUUCUGAAUCUAAUUUGAAGCUAGACAAGUGUGAAGAUGAACUUGCAGUUGAUGGUACUCAGUUCAGAAAAAUGGUGGGAAGUCUUAGAUACAUUUGUCACACAAGACCUGAAAUCUCAUUCAGUGUAGGUGUGGUUAGCAGGUUCAUGAGUGACCCUAGACAGUCACACUUGUUAGCCAUCAAGAAGAUUAUGAGGUAUUUGAGAGGUACUCUAGACCUUGGUAUUCUAUUUCCUCAUCAGAAGAGUAAUUGCAAUCUGAAGCUGGUAUCUUAUUCAGAUUCUGAUUGGUGUGGUGACAUCAUGGACAGAAAUAGUACAAUGGGAAACAUUUUCCUUCUUGGUGAUGCACCAGUGUCCUGGUGUAGUAAGAAACAACCUGUGGUAGCCUUGUCUACAUGUGAAGCUGAAUAUAUUUCAGCUUGUUUUUCUGCUUGCCAAGCAGUUUGGUUAUCAUCCUUGUUAGAAGAAUUGAAGGCUGGUUUUGGAAGUAAGAUUGAGCUUCUGGUAGACAACAAAUCUACAAUAGAUUUGGCUAAAAAUCCUGUGUCACCCGGCAGGAGCAAACAUAUAGAAACCAAAUUUCAUUACUUGAGACAGCAAGUAGAUUCUGGAAAGAUCAAGAUUGAGUACUGUCCAACUGAUUCACAAUUUGCUGAUAUACUAACCAAGGGACUGAAGAUUGAAAAGUUCAAAGAAAUGAGAAGACUUAUUGGAGUUACAAGCCUGACUGAAUUCAAGACCUAGGAGUUUUUUUUACACAAUUAUAAUGUGGUUUUUUGUUUCCUAUGUUCUACUUUUGGUCGAUUUAGGUUUUGAUAGUUUUCUCAUGGUAAUUGCAUUAUGGGGGAGUAUCUAUUAUAAUAUAGUAAUCCUGAAGCGCGCGCUAUAACGCUGGCAAGUCAGCUUUUUUAUUUUCAAUAAAACUUGCCACAUAAGCUUUUAAACUGACGUGUCCUUUCUCUCUUAACGGAUUCCUAACUCCUCACAUCUCAUUUGUUUCUAAUCCCCACCCUACUCUCAUUAUUUAUUUUCUCCUCUUCUUCAUUGCCGCCACCAGCACCGUGUUCCACCACGCCAACUACGUCAUUCGGCUCAUCAUUCCCAUUUGUAAAGCUGGCAUGCUCGACCGCCCUCGCCCUGUUCGACCAAAUGUCUUAUCACUAGGUCCCUCAAUGCACAGCCAAGUCACUUACCACUUCCCUCACCGCCAUUAGGUACGAUUCCAUUUUGAAGCAAAAUAGGGUGAAUUGUGAAAAGAGGAAAUGUACGCCACAUAGUGGUUUCUCCUGUUUCUUAUCUUUAUUCUGCAUCCGACAUCAUAACCCAUAAUCAAUCUCCUGCUUAACAUAUCUCCUUUUUAUUGUGCCUUAUGGCAGGUUCUUGCCUGAAGUUGUUUUGCUCUGGAACAUUUAUAUUAUGAGUGAGUAGAGCUAGAUAAUUGAAUGGUCUGGUUAGUUCUGACCUUGCAUCCUUAUAUUUUAAUUUGACAGAUUUUUGUUUGUUGCUUCAAUCUGGAUACUAUCCCAUAUGAUUCAUGAAACUUCGAAUGACUGCUUCUUCUACACCAAACUAAAGAGUGCAAUUUCCUACUUAAGUCAAGGCACACAAAAAAACAAGUAUACAUAAAAUUAAAACUGCAUAAACUUUUACCCAUUUUAAACAUCAUUAAGGAUCCUUACUUCUCAUUUAAAUUCAUAUGCAAUUACUCAGAGAGUCUGAAGCUCAUGAGGUAAAAUAUUUUAAUUUGAGAAAUAGAAGAAGGAAUUGAAUGAAAAUAAUUAAGGACUAUUUUUUAUAUAAAAAUGCUAAUAAACCCUGAUCUAUUUAUAAUAUAUAAAUUCUGAGGCGCGGAAUGUGGCAUCGCCAACUCAUCUUCAUGUUACUACCUACGUUGCAGCGAGUGUUCGCAUGGCAUGGGUGAGUUUCGUCCAUGCGAGCGAAGAUGGAAGGGAGAUCGGUCCGCGAACGAGCGCUUCCACAAUGUCUCCAUCUCAAUUCAGAACGGGUUCGCGAAUGAGGAUGCUAUCUUAAUCGUUUAGAACCAAUGGUUAAAAAAACAAAGAACUUUUCAUGAUUGGCAUAUAUUAUGACAGGUUGGUAAUGUGGUUAUGACAUUGGACAAUAUGAUUGUUGUUUAAGUGCAUGUUUAGAAAGUGGUUGAAUUCAUCAAAAAAUAAAAUUUUAUUCUGUUUUUCAUACUUUUCCCAUUCUCUAUGGAUUUUCUUUUUACAGUUUUUGCUCUGGAAGGGAUUUAGGGAUGGUAGUCAAGUUCCUUAGUUGGUGAAGAAACUAUGGUGUCUCCAAGUUUAAAGUUGAUUUGAUAGUAGAUUGAACUCUUUCCAGCUUGAGCAUACCUCAGGUAUACAUCCACAAACAUCACUUCUAAAGUUCUAUUUUCAGACAAUGCAACCGAUUUGAAACAUUACAUGGGUUCCCGUCAGCUAUUUUCCUUCACUUUCCUAAUUUGCGUAUGAUGUUGCAGAGUUUAGGAUAUGACAAUUUAGCAUAAUGACUAGGUCCUCCUUCAUUCUAAUGAGAGUAAUGAUUAGUAGCACAUACCGCAUUGGCACUUCAAAUAUAGACCUUUUGAAAGGAAAAAAAAAGAUAUCUCCCAACAUUGAUACCAUAAUAAAUAUCAUAAUAAAUAUCGCAAGUGAAGUCUACACUAAAUCAAUUGUACCCGCCUGCGCAACGCGCGGGUCUUAGUCUAGUUAUAUGUAAUGCAAUUAAAGUGUGAUUAGAAAUAACUACUGUCUAAAUGGUUAGUGGGGUUAAUUACCCUUGAUUGGCUGUAAUAGUAUAAAUAGGUGAGAGAGUCAUUAACUGCAUUGACUCUAUUAAUUACAGAAAUAAUAAGAAUUGAGUUUUCCCCAAUUUUGAUUCUCUCUCUCUUUUCCUUCUGUUUUCUUGCUUUCUGGAAUAAUCAAUUCCAAUAUCUUCUUCAUGGACAGUCAAUAUAAUGUUUAUUUCCUAGAAAUCCUCAUGUUAGUAUUAACAUCUGAGAAGUUUCAACACUUGUAUCCAAAGAAAAUGUUAAUUUGCUUACAUGUUAAUUUUGUUAUAAGUAUAAUAUGAAAUCAUUCAUAUGUGUUUACUCAACAAUUUAAGAUUUUAAGAGAGAAUUGAUUCAUAAUAUUAUAUCAAAGUUUCUAUGACAAAGUGAUAUUUUUUACAUAUAAACUACUCAAUAUCUGGUCACCAUUUGAAUGCUGACUAUUUUAAUAUCAAGAUUUGAGAUUUAGUCACAGCUAAUACUCUUCAUCUCUCUCCCCAUAUGUAUUGCUUCCUGACUCUGUUUUGCAAGCUCCUUGCAGAAGAGCACCUCCGGUGGUGGCUGCUCAAUUCAUGACCAGAGGGAAGUUUUUGAUGGAUGAGGAGAUGGUCACGGGGCUAGACAGGGGGUGCUGUUUGGAUGUUCAAACCCCUGCGCUUUUCCUCUUUCCUGAGCUAACCCAGCGUCAUCUUGAAGAUUCAGCGGAUGUAAUCCGGGAGGUGCCCAAGCUGCAACGCUUUGUGUCUACAAAGGCUGACCGUGUUGGAGGGAGUGGAGUGGGAGAGGACUUUGGGGCGGAGGAGCUCGUGGAGAUCGCCGCCAUAUCUGGUACCAGGUCUCCAUGUAGGGAGGGGGUUGGGCUUUCCAGUGCUCAGCUUCCUCCUGCCAUUGAGGGAGUAACUGUGCUUUUGCGGAGACCCAGAGGCAGGCCAAAGAAGACCGAGGCUAAGGGAAGCAUGAAGGUUCCGCCGGUGACUAUGGCCGAUGCAGCGACCAAUGGUGAGGAGGUGUCAACCGGAAAAGAGCUGAUGGUUCUCUCUAAGGAGCUCUCUAAUCCCUAUAGCGUAAUGACGCAUGCAAGAAGUGCUAUCUUGAUGGGGAAGCGGCUUGGGAUGACGUACGACUGCCCAGACUUCAUAGCUGAAGGUGAGAUCGCGACACAAAUUUUGGCUAGAAGGGUUUGAUAGCCCUUGUUGAGGGAGUCCCGCUGGUUUUUCUUGGUUGGGUUUUUGUUUUUCUAGAUUGCUUUGUGUCUAUAGGUGGGUUCCUUGUCUUUUGUGGGCUUUGCUGGGCUUUUUUUUACCGUCUGGCACCUUUUUUGGUGGGCUUUGCCUAGGCUUUUUGGGCUUUUUUUUGGCUGAUUUGUCUUUUGAUCCCGUUUUUAGGAGGGUGUUUAUCGUGUAUAUCUCCUCAUUAUUAUAUGAAUUCUAUUUUACUUUCAAAAAAAAAAUGUAUUGUACGAGGAUCAAACUCAAUAGCUCUUCUCGCACACUCGGUCUGUAUUGUCAACUAGGCUACCCCUUGUGAUCUGUUGGAAAAAUAGUGAUAUUUCAAAAGUUUCAAGUCUCACAUUGCUUGUGCAUUGAACUUUCUAAAGGUUUAUAUAUCAAACCUCUCUUGUGGAUGUUAAAGAGCAUAAUCAGAAGAGGCCCCCGCACAUGAGAAUUAGGCCUCGUUGGCCCAACGUAGUGCAAAUCAGCGCGCACGUCUUUCUUUCUUUUAUUUUUCCACAUGUUCAUUGAACACCCAAAAUUGAUUUUCGCGACUCAGUUUGUUUAGUUGCAGGUUCUGUUCGUGAUAUUGUUGCUGUAGAGGUUGUUGUUUGGCGUCAAGUAUCCAACAUGAUUUAGAGUUUAUUCAUUGUUUCCCUAUUAUCCACGCUAUAAUCAAAUGAACCCUUUGCAGAUGUGACAUGUUAAAAGGUUAAUACAAAAUCAUUUAUGUAUCUUCACCCAAGAGUUUAAAACUUUUGGGAUAGUUGUUUAAUCACAAAUUCAUUCACCACAUUAUGUGACAUGACAUCAAAACUUAAACGUUAGCUAAGAGCACAAACAUAGGUUGCAAAGAUAUCAUUGUGGCCAAAGAGUCUUUUGUGUCAUAUUGAUGAGAAACCAGUUAGCCUGAAGUGAAGUCUAUAGUUCUUGAGUGAAACUCUGAAAAAUACUUUUUAUAAUGGAUUAUUCUUGAAAUUUGCAUAUCAGAUUACAUUUCACUACCUAUAGUAAUCCUGGCCAACUCUAACAAUAACAUGCAUUCCAUUUGACCGUACAAUUGAUGAGUCAUGGAUUCUCUAUGACUUGCAUACUUGCUUAAACGAUUGAGUACUCUUCUAAGAAAUUAAAAGGAACAGUUAGAAGAACCAUGUGAAACUAGGUUUCAUGAUUUUCUCAAAAUUCAAGACAUGUUUACUAAAAAAACAAAGACUUCUUGGUUCUAGCCAGAAGUGAUUCUAGAACAUUUCACUGUGGAACCAAACAUGCUAUUAGAAUGUGCUAUUAAAACCCCCUUCAGUACAUCAGGAUCUGUCUUUGAGGCCUCAACAGGUCUAAUUUCCUUGAGCAUUGCAACAGUGUCCUUCAUUGUUGGACGGUCCUCAGCUUGAGCACUUACACAAAGAUAUGACACAGCUAGUUUUUGUAGUAUUUCAUGCAUAGUAGGGCCCGUCCUCCCUCUCAGCUUUGGGUCAAGAAUGUCACAUGGGUCUCUUUUGCUAGCUAAGUGGUUCCUAACCCACUGAACCAAGUGUGAACCCCUAGGCAGAGUUGGCUCUAAUGGGGGUGUCAUCCUAUCAGGACCUCAAGAAGGACCACACCAAAACUGUACACAUCACUCUUCUCAGUAAUUUUCUGCAUUAAUGCAUGGUAUCAGUGUAUUUAUGACCAAAUAGUCUAGAGCUCGAUCCUUGUUAUCAGGGACAUAGCCGGAAAAAUUAAAUAAGGGAGGUAAAAAAUUAACACAAUAAGUAAAAUCAUCAAUGACUGAUUAAAAGAUACGGUGUAAAAAAUUUAAGUUGGGAAAUGAUGCAUUUAGUAUUCUAUUAAAGAAUGUUUUUCUCUUGGGGCGAUCUCUUGGGGCGAUUGCACCAUUUAGGAACAACCUAGUUCUGUAAUUAAGUAAUGGAGUUUUAAUUUAGCUACCCAGUUGGUGGCACUGCAUUGAGUUGAAGUCAAUUCUCAUAAAAGACUCAGCUUUUAAUAGGGAUAGAUAGAUUUUGAAAAAAAUUGGCUUUGAUUCUUACUCUCCUUUUUUUGUUAAAAAUAGGACCUUUUGGAAGUUUCAGAUUGCUUGCCAGAAGAGCAGGGACUUUAGCUCUUCUAUUCCUGUUAGGAACAUUCCUAAAUCACCUGAAACUGCUCUGCCAGUGAAAAGCCUAGAAAGUUCUAGCUGUCCUGAUGUUAAUGUACCCAAGAUAAAUGGUGGAAAUGAGGCUAAUUCAACUAUUGCACAAGAGGGAAACAUGAUAUUGGUCAUGUAGGACGCGAGCGUGGCAAAAAAUGCAACUUAGGCUAGUUCCGUUAGAGGGACGAACGGCAAAAGUGUAAAAAGGACCAACUUGACCGACAGUGACAAACUCAGGGACAAUUAAAGAUCAUUUUCAAAGUAUGAGGAUUAGACUGUAGUAAGUGAACACAUUCAGGGACCAAAAUGAGGGUUUACUCGUUUUUCACCUCUUAUUUCAGUUUUGUAAAGGAAAAUAAAAUAAAGGCUUAAAUAAACUUAGUCCCUGCAAAAUACAUCAUUUUUGUUUUUCAUCCCUGAAAAAUAUUUUUUUGAUCCUCCUAAAAUUACAUGUUUUGUUUUUAGUCAUUUUCUUGACAUUUUUCAUCCAAUAUAAGUUGGAAUAAACACAAUUAAUGUAAGAGUAUAAGUGAAUAAACACAAUAACCAUUCAAAAUGUGAACGGUAUCUAAUGUGACGACCAUCCUAAAUUAAUGAAGAGUAUAAAUUAAUAAACACAUUAACUAUAUUUCAUACUAUAGUUUAUAAGGUGACGUCCACAAAAGCUAAUGGAUGUCCACCAUGAUUUCGUCUCAUCAUAUUUUUGUCUCAUGUAUCCAGACAUACAAUUUGUGCAUACAAGCCAAAGAUUUCUCCUCAUGAUGAUAUACUAGGAUUAUAGCCCGUUGCCGUGCGAUGCACGGACGAGCGAUUCUAUGAGUUAUAAUUUUUAAUUCAAUAAUUUAUAAAAUAAAUAGAUUUAUUUACAUACCUAUGGUAAUUAAUAUUAAUAAUGUUUGCAGCUAUGAAAAGAUAGGUGAUAUUUAAUUAUUUUAUAACUUUAGUGUAUAUUAGAUAAUACAUAAACAUUUAAUUAUUUAAAAUGAUUAUAUAAUUAUUAAUCUGAAAUAUAAAACAAACUCGUUUUAAUUUAAAAAAAUGUAUAUAGAUUCAAUAGCAGAAAAUACAAGGAAUUGACUAUGUUAAUCAAGGAAUAGUAUUUAGCUCUUCAUGGAUAGAUGACAAAAAUAUAGUGUCUUAAAUUACCCGUGAAAAUAGAGAGAAUCAAACCUAAGGUAAAAAAAAAUGAUAUAGUUAUAGACAAAAUAAACAACCAUUCACAGUGAACAAAUAAAGUAGCACCGUUCAAGUGAUGUUUACAACCACAUCAUGUUAUAUUAUGUAGUACAAAAAAAGAACAAAAAUAUGUAACUUUUGAUGUUAAAUUACUCCGUCAAAACAGCAACUCUGUAAAAAUUGAGAAGAACCAUUUUCCAUAGCUGCAUCUUGUGUCUUGCAACGGAAUUUCCAAGUCUGAAAAAUGUUUCCUUAUAGAACUCAUACCACCGCCCAAAAAUGGCACCCAUACUCCCAGAUUCACUUAUCCCCUCACUAAGUGAGUACCAGACGAUUUCUCAUCUAGUCCAAGAACCAUCUGGAAGAAGUACAUUGAUUUCUGGACUCAUGUCGUUGAAAACCUUUUCCUGAAUAUAAUCAGGAAUAAUCUGCAAAAUUUUAAUUUCACUGCAUAAGUAAAGAAAAAAUAGUAAUACUAAAAAUUAAAUCACAAAAUUCCAAAAAGAGAAAACGAACCAGAUGAUGACGGGGAAUAAUGAGAUCAGCAGUGAGAUCAACUGACCAAAUUAACAUCUCCUAAUUCACAAUAUCUUCAACUUCAUUCUCAGAAUCAUCAUCACUAAUUAAAUUUAUAACCGAACCAUCUACUUCAUGAAAAUUCAUAUGACUUGAACUGGCAACAUUAGCUGCAACAUGAGCAGUUCUUUUCCUAUACUCAAUCUCAAACAAGUUCAGAUCACUAAUUUGGAUGUCAAAUCUACUAUCACCCAGAUAAAUAAAACAAAUUAUCACACUUCCCUGUAUUUGGUGCACAGUUCGUAACUCUGAAAUAUUAGCACCAAAUCUUGGUUCAUCACGAUCAAAAUAAAAGCUAAAACAGAAUUUAUUCCCUACAGGAUCCACUAAUUCAACAUAUUUAGAGAGACUUUCUUCAAAAUCAUUCAAGAAUUGUCUUGGUACAACAAUAUACACCUGAAUAUUCCACAAAAAUAAACAUAAAAAGAAAAAAAUAUGAUCAGUGUCCAAUAUUUUCAUCUCACUCCAAACAUAAAAAACAAAUUUCAUAGUUACCUCAUCCGGAUGAAAUACUCUGGCAAAAAUCUGUUGCUUAGACUUAGAACUUCUUAAGGUGUACUGAUGCAUAGUAACUACACAAAAAAACCGAUGACAACCUCUAAAUGUAAGAUAGAAAAAUGGAAUAAGGGUCAAAUAUUAACUAUAACAUAAGAGAUAAAUCCAAUUUCAAAACUCAAAUAGAUCAAGUGGGAAAUAUUGAAGAAUCACAGCCCAAAUACGAUAUCAAGUCCUAAGUCCUAACAUUAUAUGAGAAAAUCUCCAUAUCAAGCAUUAGGUGAGUACAAUUAAUGAAGCUACAACUAAAUCACUAAUAGGUAGAACAACAAAUUAUUCACUUUGGUUAAUGGACACGGCAACAUGUCCAAUUGGUCUGAAUCUCUCCAGUGAACUGUAAAGUGAUAAUUUAUGCACAUUUUUUUG